AAAAAAAAAAAAAAAAAUCCCAAGACUGGUAGACAGGUCAAAAGAUCUCUUAAAAAUAAAAUAACCUUUUUACACUGCAUGGCCGUGAACAAAAAGCAAAAAAAAAAACUGACUUUUCAUUAAAUAAGCAUUUGUUUAUUUAAAAAACGAAUAUUAAAAAGGUACUUUUACUUUAAAAAUGUCACUAAAUAUAUAAAUUGAAUAUAAUCUGAGUGUUCAUAAAAGUUAUAGAAUAGUUAUAAAAUUGUAUAAAAUAUAAAAUAGCUUAUGUUGUAAAACAAAGUACUUGGGAUCCUUUUUAUGAAAUAUAAAAAAUAUAUUAAAAAAAAGUGCUCGUGAGGCGUGAAGGAUUCGAACAUUCAGGAGAAAAAAGAAAAAUAAAAGAAGGGCGGCACGAAAAAUCGUGGGGACCAUGAUUGAUGACGACCUAGUUGUAACUAGAUCCAACGGCUGCCAAGAGCUCACCAUUCAGAAAGAGAAAUAAAAUACAAAACGCAAUUAAAAUCAUCACACGCGAAUCAAUGUGAGAUUGAUACCUUUGAUGCGUUUUACAGUUACAUCAACACUAAAGCAGCAGAAGACAACAACAAAAAUGGUUGCUACCACUAGUACACAACACAAGCCACUUACAUUGAGAAACGGGAAUCCUAAUCUUAAAAAAGCGAAACGUUUCAAAACGACUGCGUUUCUGUUCUUUGCCUUCUGAAAGUCAGAGACUUUUCAAGAUUAUGCUUUUCGAACCUGUUUACAACAGAUUCGUCCUUUUGUACGAUUCUCAAUCUCAUCAAAGUUAUGUCUUAAAUUUUUUCUUUUUUUCAUAACACUGGGUACAAUUUUAAAAGGUUUUCUUAUGUAUUUUAUUAGCAUUAAAAUUAUAAAUCUUAAGAAAUAAUUAAUUAAUUUGAUUAAUAAUUUACUAAAAACAAUUAGGUAUACUAUACUGUUUUUACAGCAGAAUAUAUUGUAUUUAUAAUCGAAUUUAAUCUGGUUUUAGUGUGUGCAUAGGCUAUAAAUUAUUAUUUUGAAAUAUAAGAAUUAAAAGACCCACUUAAUAUACCAACAAAAGAGUUCUUAAUAAAUUAUAAUUUCUCUUGCAAAUGCGUUAAACGUUAAUAUUUUUAAAUUAAACUAUAGCGUAUUCUUUACUUUUUAGAGAAACCCCAUAGUCAUAUUUUCUAUUUUUAAAAAGAAGCAAGUAUAUUUUCAUGGUAUUAGCUUAACGCUUUAAUAGGUGUUUAGUGUUGACGGAGAAAUUUUGUUUUUGUUUCUUUACGGAGAAUCUGGUUAUUUUAGUAAAAAAAUGUUAAUGAAAAUCGGAUCCAUGCCAUAAAUGUUGCAAUAACAUCUCGUUAAAAAUUCACAAAUUAUGAAUCUAAUAGUCAAAAUUUUAGAACACAUAUCGGAUCCAGGUGAGGGAAACACGUACUUGCAUCUUGAAACUUGAAUGAGUCUUAAAAAAACAUUUUUAUUUCUUAUAAAAUCAAAUAUUCGAUUUGUUUCCUUAAUAAAUAUAUUUUUAUUCACAAAAUACUUUUUUAAACCUAUUCCCACAUUUUAAUGGAGUUUUUUUCUGUCGUCACCAACCACAGAACUAGUUUGCUGUGUACAGAGAAUCAAAUGACCAAACUUCAAAGAAUAUGCUUUUAUGCAAAAAAGGAAACACACGAAAAAUAAUUAAAGACAGAACAGAACUAAAAAAAAAUAAGACUCAGAUUCAGACUAAGCUUAUGAAAAAAAAACUCUAGUCUAUAUAGGGAAAGUUUUUACUGUUACUUACCUGAAUCAGUGAUAUCACUACUCGGAGAAUCGUCUUCAACGUCUCCGUUAAGUUCACUUUCCGUCAGCUUCUCGCCGUUAAAACAAACGCUCUUCAUCUCCGCCGUCUCUGUUCGGCUCUGUUUCAGAUCCUCCGCCGUCUCCGUUUUCAUCUCCUCCACCAGAUCCUCCGUCUUCUUCGCCUCCAGUUUCUGCAGCUCGAUCGCCACCUCGGCGAUGGAGUGAUACUUCUGCAUCUGGAGAACGGGGAUCCAGUUCAGGCGCCGGCGAUGGAUCGCGGCGAAGACGGCGUCGUACUCCGAUCCGGGAACAGCCUCCCUGAGAUGCGAGCACACCGCGUCGAUAAUCGCGUUGGCGGCGGCGAACUCGCCGCGAAACCACGAGAUCAGCGCGUCCUUCCCCUGUCCGUCGGAGACAACGGCCACCGGCGGAACCGUCUUCGCCGUCGCCGUCGCGAAAGGAGAGGCUGAUCGAUCUGUUUGGCGUGAUGGCGUCACCGCAAUCGUCAUCGGCAUGCGAGGAAUCUCGGUUGUUUUCACGGCGGCGGGAGCAGGAGAAACAAAACGGGUGAGAAAUGCGGGUCGGGUUGCGUCGGGCCGGGUCGGGUCGAUGCACAUGCAGUUUAUAAUGAAGAAAGGUUUUCGCUGGUGGGAUCGUUCCAAUAUAUAUUGGAGCAGCCGGGGAAAGAGAUCUGUACAGGUGGGUGAGAUGACGUGGCGCUUUCUUAAGGCUGACGUGGCUAAGUUUAUGGCGCAGAGUUUUUUAUAAAUUGGGACGAAAAGGGAUUAAUAUUUGGUGGUUAUUUUCUUCCAUCUAUUAAAUUGGUAUUAAGAGAUUGCGAUUUACUAGAGAUAGAGAUUAAUUUAAGACUGUUGACAGUUAGCAGAUUUACUUGGGCAAUACUCAAAGGGAUGUAAGUGGUUGUACAUUUAAAAGAAUAAAAGUUUGGUCAAAACUCCAAUUAUUCAAUUUUGGUAAAAUAUACUCCCUCCGUUUUUUAAUAUAAGUCGUUUUACAGCUAUGCACGUAGAUUAAGAAAACCAUUAAUUUCUUAUAUUUUCUAAACAAAAACAUCAUUAAUUAUUUACCUAACCAUAAUUCAACCAAUAGAAAAAUAUAAGAUAUAUUACCAUUGGUCAUACAACAUUAAUUGUUAAUAAAUUUUACAUAGAAAACCGAAAACGACAUAUAAUUUGGCACAAAAAUUUUUCUCUAAAACGACUUAUAAUAAAAAACGGAGGGAGUAUAUACAAACAAAAGAAAUACUAAUACAUUUAAAAUCUUCAAAAAAUAAUUAUACUAAAAACUGUUAAUAUUUGUUUUUGAAAAUUUGAACUUAAAACAUGAUGUAAAACACUUAUUCACUGGUAACAUAAAUAGAUAAAAUAGUAUUCAAUAAAUAAUUUUAUAGUUAAUUUAUACUCUUUCCGUUCUUUUAUAAUUGACGCUUUAGGAGUUUUUACACAAAUUUAAGAAACUAAGAUAAUACCUUAUUUUAACCUUUAUACAUACACCCUCUGUUUCCGAAAGUAAAAUGUUUUAGAUUUUUUACUUGUUCCACAAAGAUAGAUUUUCUAUAUGUUUAAGAUAUUUUUUAUAUUUUUAAGAAACAUUAAAUGAAAAUAUUUGAAUUGAUUAAAUUUCAUUGGUGAAAAAUUAUUGGAAAGUGUAUAAUAAAGUAAAAGAAAAGUUAAAUUAUAAACAUUUAUUAAAUUCUUAAUAAGCAUUAACACUUUAGAAAAUCUUACUUUCGGGAACCGAGAGAGUAUUACUUUACUCCACAAUAGUAAUACGACAGUUCAUACUAAAAAAGGUAAAAGAAGUUAGUUUUUCUUAUUUGCUGUCUAAAAUUCUGGAAAGGACAAGUAUAUAAAAACAAAAUAAAAUUCCUACAGUGUCAAUUAUAAAAGAAAGGAGGAAGUAUAUUUUAAUCUUUUAUAUCAUAUUAUUGUGUUAUUUUGUAAAUUUAUUAUUUUCUUAAUACGUUGUUGUUACUCUAUUUUAUAAUCUUGUCGGUUCGAACUAAAACUUCAAAAAUCUCAAAUUUGUAAAACCUAAAAUUUAGUACACAUUACUUAUCGAUGAUUUAAGUUUGUUCUUAAACAGAGUCGAUCCUCAUAAGAAAGUGGUCAUGCACUAACUUAUGGCCUAUACAAAAUGAUAGAAAAACUAAUCUUUUGUUAGCACAUCAAAUUCAUUUUGAUAUAUGAUAAAUGCUCUUUUAAAGCUGUGCCUCAAAAAAAUUUCAGGGGCAACAUUAUUACUAAAAGUUUGAUUUAAUUAAGCGCUGGCCAAACAAGUAUAUUAUAUUAAUCUGUUUUAAAAGAGUCACGUUUCUUAAGUUCUUUCAAAAGUUGUGACAUGGCUUACUUUUGGGUUGACGUUAACGCACAAUAGUUCAUUGGGAUAGAAAGAGGCAAGAAUAACGAAAGGACGGCCAAGAGCUAAAGAGUUAUCUUGUCCAUGUUACACAAAUGACCUUAUGUAACCUGAAUUAGUCGCAUUUUCAUAGGCAAAUUUCUCUUUUCACUUUCAACGAGUUUUUAAUAUGCUGAAAGAUGGUACGCAUAUCUUAAUGUAAUUAACUAGAAUUUGAUCUGUGCGUACGGAUAUUGACUUAUGUUUUAUAACUAUAUAUUUAUUUUUCAUAAUUAAUGCUAUAUAUUUUAGAUGUGUCGCCAUAUUCAAAAUAUUUGAAUUGAAUCGGAUAAUGUAGUUAUUUUGGUAUACAUAUUAAAUCCAUUUUAGAUAUAUUGGUUAUUUGGAUAUUUUUAAGUUUCUAUACAUCAAAAAUAAUAUAUUUAAAUCUCGGAGGACCCAACUCGAGAACCAUACGUAAAUUUAUAAUAUCCAAGCGGACCUAAUUAUAAAACCCAAAAAAAUUUGAUAUCCGAAAGAAACAUAAAACAACCCGUACCUAAAUGGGUACCCGAAUAUCUAUUGCUAACUAAUUAUGUAAAAAAUAAAUAUAGAAAGAGUUUUUUUAUUUAGUAUAAUAAUUAUAUGGUGUGAAAAAUUAAGUGACAAUAUAUGUAAUACAUUUUUAUUAUUUUGAUCUAAGUAAUUAUUUUGUUCACAUAAAUAAUAUGUUUGGCUACAUAGUUUUUCACCGAUUAAAACUAAGAUAAAAAAAAUUAGUAAAACAGAAUAAACCAAAAUUUUAACCAUAUGCAAAACUCGAUUAUUUUAUAUUUUAAUUUUUAUAAUUGGUACAAAGUUAAUGUUGAUUAACUAUUAAAUAAAAUCUGUGCUAUUAUUAUUAUAGUAAUAUAAUUAAUGAUAUAAUGUAUUGUUAAGAUAAUAUUAUUAAUGAAGUUUUUAAACUGGACGAAAAAUGAAAUAACAAUUAACGUAAUAAUUUGUUGAAAGGAAGGUUAAUUCUAUUUGUAAUUCAGUUUUUUAAUAUUAUAGAUGAUUUAUUCAUUUCCGCAGAUUGUUAAUGAAAUAAUAAACUUUCAUAUAUGAUGAUAAUUUAUCUAAUAUCAUCUGUCAAAAAAUAUUUUGGGUAAAUAUAAUCAUAUUUCCCCACUUAAUUUUUUUUUAUCCCCACUUAAAAUUUUGAUAGAUGAUAUUAGAUAAAAUAUUAGUUCUUUUCAAUACUAUUUUCUCUGCUUUUUAUCAAUAUAUACCAUAACAACUGCACCAUUUCUUCAGUUGGUAAUGCGAAGAUGAUAUAUAGAGACGUCAAACUCGCAAUCUUUUCUAGGAGUAAACUGAAGCAAUUCAAACCUCUCCUGCCAAGCUGGAUCCUAUAAGAUGUUGGGCAACCAACGUUAUCUUACACUGCCUUGUUUUUCCUUUAUUUUUUUGCCUUGGUAGAGUAAUUAUAGAUUGCACUUAUUGUAAAUCAGAACAUCAUUUAUAUGAUAUUAACAUUCUUAGCAAAAAAAUAUAUAAAAAAUAAAUAAAUUAACUACUUACUAGUAAACUGUAUAUAUAAAAUGUAAUAAAUUGAUUGUUCCAUGUUUAAGUGUUCUUUACCUUUACACCAAACCAAAGUGGCAAACUCAUGAGUCAUGAUUUCAAGGACCAUGUCCAUGAGGCCCGUGGAAUAUGAUCUAAGAGAUGACGUAUAAAAUAAUACAAAUCAAUUUGAUUUGUAUAUAUGUCCAAGAUAUUAACUAGUCUAAAGACCUUUUACUAUUGUCGUUGUUCUCAUUUGACCUUUUCCUUUGUUUACAAGUCAAUCGACUAACAACCAAAAAGGUCCCUUCUACGUGAUUAAUUAUAAUAUUUAUGACAUUAUGUAGCACAGUUACAUUACACGAUUAAAAAGAGAGAAAGUACUUGGAUUCUUGUAACAUUUCUGAUUAAGGCCAAAAUCUCUAAAUAUCCAAUAUAAGAUGGUUGACAAAAGUAAUAAUUGAAUUUAGUGGUAAUACUAAUUACAACAUAUACCCAUAAGGAGCAAAACGUUAUGUAGCAUUGUCAAAAAGCUUCGAAGAAGCAAUGAAUGAUGGGUUAGAAACAACGAAAUGUAAACUUAUGGGACCCGAAUGAAAAGUCUACAAUUUCGUGGGGGGAGGUGAAAACUGGCCCUACGUCUUCCAGAUUUGUGGGUCGCAUGAACAUCUCCACCCUCUAAAAUCAGUAGAUUCCCGUUUCCACUACCUAAGGCACAAACUCAAAAGAGAGCAUGGGGUUAACCACGAACCCUUGGUGACCCCUAAAAGUGUUGCUCAUUUUAUUCAUAAGAAGUUUCUAGUCAUGGUUCACGGAGAUAUAUAUACAUGUAAACUUUAAGACCGUAUGCAAGUUAUUAUCACAUAACUUUACUAAAUAAAAUUCUUAAUAGCUUUUUCUGGUAUUAUAUAUGAUGCAAACCCCAAUUAAUUUGAAAGUAGACAACGUUGUUGAAUACAAAUACACUAUGUUGAACAUUUUAAAUGAAGUUUAUAACCAACUAGUCCAAAAACAACACUCGAUCGACAAAUAAUUCUGUAUGUACAAUAUUUUCAAUAGACAGAUUGUCUAUGCACACACAGUGGCGGAGCUAGCUUGACAUGAGGGGGGUCAAUUGACCCAUGUGACUUUUGACAAAUUUAAUUUUCAUGCUUAUAUAAUUCACUUUUCAUAGAUAAUUUAGUAUUAUGACCCUCAUGAUCCAAGUCUAAAUACUCUAUGUGCACCUAGUCAAUAAACAUUUUGGAUUGAUCAUUUGCUUAUGGUAAUAUUAUUGACCCUCUUGAAACUCAUUUCUGACUCCGCCACUGUGCACACAUGAAUAUAACAAACGCUUCUGUCCACGACAUUCUUGAACUCGACUUCGGAUAAGCUUUGCAUUCUAUGACUUGAAAGAAAUUGUAGCAUUUUGAAAACCAAAUUUCUCUGAUGUAAUAAUUUUUAAAUAUUAAACACUUAGGCCAAUCGUUUCCACCAAUUAUUUACAUAUCUAAUGCACAUUUUCUUAUUAAAUAAUUAAUCAUAUAAAUCUCUUAUAUAUUAAUUUUUUCAUUCGUUAGGAAAUAAAGUUUCUUUUUCUUAAAAGAAUAUUGUUACAUGUGUUGGACUGUAAUGAGUUUUUAUAUUCUUCCAACUUUGAUCGGAGUUUUGCUCUCUAAAUGAAGUAAGUCUUUAAGUAGCCUUUUCCCAUUAACAUACAUAUAUCAAUAAUUUAAACAUGUCGAAUAUGUGGAUAUCGCAUUAUUCGUGUAUAUAGAGAUACCCUCCUUCCAUGUGAGAAAGAUGGUCCAACCAAGUAAAAGCUAGCAUGUAUAUUUGUUUAUUGUGAACCUUUACAUACAAUUAUAUAACUUAUUUUAUUAAUCAUUAAGUAUUGAUUGGUGUAAAGCUUAUAAUUAUUAUUGUUCAUGGAAUAUGAGCCAGGCUCUACAAGAAGAAAGAUAGAAUAGUUUCUCUCUUUUUGCAAAUUGCUAAGAAUAAUUUAUCUCGAGAAUGAGGAAUCAAAAGAUGACUUUUUCACUUUAUCAAUUUAUCUGGAGUUUGUAUGUAAUAUGUAUAUAAAUUUUCAUGUUGACAGCAUUACAAGUACAGAUAUUUAUGUGGUUAUGUAGUAUUGACACACUGACGUUCUUAGUGCAACAACGAAACUACGUUUGUGUUGGUAAAAAAUAGCAACCUCAACUAGUUGUACCUUAGUGGCAAAGAUAAUUUGAGGUACAACGUAAAUCUAUUUAUACUAAAUUUGAUUUAGCUGAAAACAAUAUAAUUGGUAUUUAUUCAGUCUGAGUUUAGAUUUUGAUCCACACUGUUUACAAAAUAGUCUAGUAGCUUCAGCUUUUUUUUUAGCAUUAGUUAGAAUACAGUUUAAAUUAACUGAGGUCAGACAAAGUAAUAGCUAAUCUACUUUGUAACGUUAAAUAUAUCUUUUCAGGCAUCAACCGUAUCAACUAUUAAGGGCAUGACUGGUUUUCCCGCUACCACCCGCAAACGCAGCUUUUGCGGUUGGUAGCGGUUGUUGGCGUUUUGCAACAAUCGCUCAAACCGUUCCAAACCGCUCCAAAUCGCUCUGAACCUCAUAAAUUCAAAAGCUCGUUCCAGCUAGCGUUUGCGGUUGCGGGCGGUUGCGGGAGGAUAAAAAAAAUUUCUUUUUUUCCAAAACAAUAUAAAUACAAAAAUAAAAAUAUUCAAUAAAAAAAUUAAAUUAGAAUUAUAAAAAUGCUAAAAUAUAUCUAUUAAAUUUUAAUUAAUAUUAUAAAACUUUAAAAUAAAAAUAUUUUCUAUAUUUUUAAAAAAAUUAAACUAUAACUUUCUAAAUAUAACUUUUAUAUUUAUUAUAAUAUUAUUAUUUUUGAUAUUUUUAUAAUUGUAUAAAAUGUAAAUAUUGUUAAUUUAUUAUUUAACCGCUGCUGCACUUUGUAGUUAACCAGUCAUAAGUAUCCCGCAAACGCACCAAUUUUUAACCGCAGAACCAGUCGUACAAAUCUCUUAAAACCGCUAGAAACCGCAACCACCCGCAUCUACAAACUCCCGCAACCGCAACCGCAAUCGCUGCGGUUGAACCAGUCAGGCCCUAAGACAUUAAAAACAUAGCGAUCAUUCUCUGUGAUACGAAGUUUUAAUUUUAGUUUCCAAAAAAACUUUUAAUUUCUAUUAUCUUAAUUAGCUAUAUUCUUAUUUUCUUACAUAUUAUUAUGUAUAGUCAUUUAUAAAAUAUCUUGUACAUUAUAGAUCAUAUAGUUAAAUUCUAUCUUAUGACUAUAUGAUAAUUACAUCAAUGUUUAUGGAUAUCCUGGCAUCCUGCGAAGUCCAUUUUAACCAUAAACAUAGGUUUACGAUAUUACUGGAUAAUCAUACAAAACUCAGCUUUUAGCCUCUAGAUGUAAGUUAUAACAGAGGGAAUUUAAUAACGAUGAGAGAUUAGCGAUAUAUUGACAAACAAUUAAAGUAGGAAAAGUGGUAUUCUUUUUUCUUAGCUUUUUUUUUUUUUUUGUAACUCUUCUUUUUUCUUAGCUUUGCCGCUAAAAAGUACGAUAAAUGGAAAAUAUGCUCUUGUCUUCUGAGCCUCAAAGCCUUAAGAAGAUUCUUACAUAUCUUACAUGUCAAAGUAGUAAAGAGAUAGUCGGUAACACAUUCCCAUGUGGUCCGGAAAACAAAAGUUCCUUAUAUUUUUUGGGAAUAUUAAUAGGCAAAUUGGUGUAGGAUUUGAGUAUUCUAUGUUGCGUACGUAAAACAUACAGUAGUCUGUAGUGAUUAUUAAAAAUUAAUCUGUCUUUGAUCCAGUGGUUGGUUUCAUGAUCUUAGACUUCGAUAAUAUGUGAAGUUUCUUCCUUUUUCGGUUAAAUAUUGUAAUGGAUUAAAGUUAAAAAAAAGUUACUGUAAUGGAUUUAAAAAGAGAAGUAACCAUGUUAUGUUUAACAUUCUAACUCUGGAGUUUAUGAUGUUCAUACAAUGAGAUAUAGAAAACUAUUAUGCAUAUAUUCCUUAUUUAUUAAUUGAGAAACUUUAAAACAUGUGAGUGAUAUUAUGUGUUAUCAUCAGAAUUUACUCUUAAAUUUUUUAGAGAAAUAUAUUGGUUUAUCUAAACAUAUAUAUACUAUAUAUUUAUUAAACUAAUUAUAAAAUUAAUUAGUAAUCUACAAAACAUAAUAUUACUUAUUUUUUUAAAAAUAAAAAUUACGGAAUUACCUAAUGUGAUUAAAAUAUAUAUGAAAAUUAAUAAUUCUGAAUAAUAAAAGUUUGAUAAUAAUUUGUAUAUUCUCUAUCAUUUUUUAAUUCUAUAUUAUUAAGGUAAAUUAAAUAAUCAAAUUAAGUAUAUAAUAAUUUUUAGUAUUUUCCGUAUAUGCUAUAUUUUGAAUUUUAAAAAUGAGUAUAAAUUACUAAAAAUUGUUAAAAAUCUCACUUGAAAAUUCUGUGAUCAAUUAUUUAAUUUUUAUUAUAGCAAAGACAAAAAGAUCAUAAAACCAUAUGAGUAGAAUUUUUUGUAUAAUAGAUAUUAAAAAUGUAUAUCUAUUUUAAUAUUGUUUAAAUGCUACUAUAUACCAUAUAAAAUAUUUUAAUUUCAAAAUUUUAGAAAUAUGUAUUAUAUUUGAAUUGACAAAAAUUGAAUUCUUUUUACAAUUUUAAUUUAAGCAAUCAAUAAAAUAUAUUUUACAUACCUUUAUUAUUUUUAAAAAAGUUAUUUAUUUGACAAAUAUUUCAUAUCUUACAGAACGCAGAUUAUUACUUAGUAUCAAAUUACAUACAUCAAUCUUCUAUUUUUCUAACUUAUAAGUAUAUUGUUGGGUGGGGCUGUGAUGCAUUUUCGUUGUAGAGAUGUACACGUUUCAACCAACUUCAGUUAACCAUAACAAAAAAGCUUAUUAUCAAAAAAAUUAAACAUAUAUAAAAAAAAUUAAACAUAUAAUUUGGAGGUUACAUAUUUUUCCAUGGGUUCGACGAUUAUGUUUUGAAUGCAUAUAUGUGCUUUCUGUUGUAUAUGUUUCUAUAGAAAAUUCCAAUUUUUAAUACUUUUUUGAAGGGAUGCCUUCAUCUCAAAUUUCGAAACUAUAAAGUCUAAAAAUUAGAAAUGUUUACCCCGAUCGGUUGCCUAGUUUUUUAGUUGCUCUUAUCAAAUUCAGUAUAGUGUGCUUUGAAGAAGUUGGUUGAGUCACGAAAUCGUUAAAAUCGCUGAAAUUGUUCGUUAUUGAUGUUGUUAAUCUAUUUUAGAGGUUUAUAACCCUUGUCAAAUUCAGUAAAAUAAGUUGUUGUUUUUGUGUAUGAUAAAACCAUUUUCAAAGAUAAAAUGAUAUAUAUAUAUAUAUAUAUAUAUAUAUAUAUAUAGUAAUAAAAAGUCAGGCACUAUUUUUAUUUUUCAAUACUAGUUUUAUCUCUGAAACUGGUUUGAUUUGGCAUGAUUUUAUCAAUCACAUUUUAUACAAAUUAUGGUUUAAGUGUACAUUUCAGCUAAACACCUAAUACAUGUGAGUAUUAAGUUAAUUCCCACUUUUUUACGAGUAUGAAAUUUUGUUGUACCAUCAAACCAAACUUCUGGUGUUGGGACGUAAAAAGCUUUCAUGCUUUCUUGUUGAUAUACUGGUGGAAGAAUCGUGAUCUUCAAAGAAAACUUUCAUGUACAAAGGCUUCAACAUCGUUAAUGGCAUCUUGGGGUAUCAAGAAAUAAUAGGAUUGAUAUAGACUAUUAAGAAAUAAAGUAAGGCGGUCCAUGGCAACGCAUGUGAUUAGACGAACUACUAGCAUGCAACGUGGAUAAGUAGGAACCGUUGCUUUGGAAAGCAUAAGAGAGACAUCAAUUACAAAUGAAAUCGCCUAAACACUACAAAAUGCAUCAGUAUAUUGUGACAUUUGAGAUGGUCUUGAGUCUUGACAAAGAUAUACAACUUAAUCCCGACAUACAUGUCUAUUGAAGAAACGCAACUCAUUUAAUUCGGGAUCUCUUUCAUGUAUAGUUGUAGACAACUUGUACACUCUUUAUUAAUUCAAAAAGAAGAAUAAAUAUAUUAGAGAGUUCUAGAUUUUUGGAUAUAAACAUUUUUCAGACUGGGAUCACAAUAAGUUUUUUUUUUAACAGAUAGAGUUAUUUUUUCAAAUAUAAAUUUAUCUUGGAUAUUUUGAGCUGACAUAAAAAUUAAAAUAAACAUUUUGUAAAAGUUAUUUUCUUUAGAAUAAAUUUUACUAAAUAAACUAUCCUAUACCUAGUUUUAUAAUAACUGCGGUUAGAAGACUAAACAUAAAUGUAAAAAUAGAAACCCAUUUAUAAAAGAGAAACAUCUUCAAAAAGCAUCAAAUCAAAACAAGUAUUUGUCCCCACUAUAGCAAACCAAAAAAAAAGAAAUUACCGUUUAUUAAAAUUAUUAAAAAAACAUAACUACAAAUAGUUUGGGAUUUAAUUUUAGAAUUUAAAACAAUAAUAUUUAGUAAAAAUAAUUAGUCUUUUUGCUCCUUAAUAAAUGUUAUGUUUGUGACAAUUGUUAUAGUGAUAUUUACUCUUUACAUAAUUCAGUAAUGAUAUAAUAGUUGAUUUGACAUACAUAAUGACCUAUAUUUUAUAAUUAAAAACUGAAAAAAUGGUUUAAAAAUCCAAUGAAAGAAAGCUAAAAAAAAACUAAAAUUAUUUAUAAACUGAAACCCCAAGUUUAUCUUUAAAUGUGCCUAAAAAACUCUAUAUCCAAAUUGAUUCAUGGUAAUGUUAACAAGUUUUUCGGGCAUCUAUGGGCCAUUAUUAGUUUAAAUGGGCCAAUAAUAGUAAAAAAAGGAACUCAAAAAUGGGCUUAUCCGGGUCGGGUCGGGUUAUAAGAAAUGAAAUAACAGAAACCCUCACAGGCGACUAAAACCCCCAAUCUCACUUCUUCCUGUGUAGACUCAAAAUGGCUUCCGUCGCUCUUCGUAACCCUACCUCGAAGCGGAUUCUUCCCUUCUCCUCUCAGAUCUACUCGCGCUGCGGUGGCUCCAUUUCUUCUCCUCCUCCCUCGAUCUCGCAUUCAAUCGGAGGAGAUGAUCUGUCUCCUCCGUCAAGUUUCGGAGCUUCUCUGUGGAGAUCGAUGGCUACUUUUACUCGAAAGUGAGUUUCUUUCUCAUUGAUUUUGAAUUGGUUUGGAGAUUGGUUUAAUGAUUGUGUUCUUUUGUUGCAGUAAACCUCAUGUGAAUGUGGGAACGAUUGGGCAUGUGGAUCACGGGAAGACUACGCUAACUGCUGCAAUCACAAAGGUGAUUCUUUUUUCUAAACAUUGAUGAUAGAGAGUUUCUAAUAGAUUGAUUCUACUAAUUGUUUAGGUUCUUGCGGAAGAGGGGAAAGCGAAAGCUAUUGCCUUUGAUGAAAUUGAUAAAGCUCCUGAAGAGAAGAAGAGAGGGAUUACUAUUGCUACGGUUUGUGUUUUUAUCUUCUUAUUCUUGUCUUCAAGAGAAUGUUUUUUUUUUGCUUUAGUCUUUUUACUUGAUGGUACUUGUUUAUGUAGGCUCAUGUGGAGUAUGAGACUGCUAAGCGUCACUAUGCUCAUGUGGAUUGUCCUGGACACGCAGAUUAUGUUAAGGUAAGAAGCAAAACGUUCUUUGUAUUUCAUAUAGGUGUUGCCAAUAAUGAUACUCUAGAAAAUUCAUAAUAUGUCACAUGUCACAUGUGAUCAUGGCUUUGAAGUAUGAUUAGUGGAAGUAUUAUUAUGUGGGAAUGCAUCAUAGUAUAAGUGACAUGUUUAGUGGAGUAGCAUGCAUCAGUAUAUAGAUUUUUCUUUUGAAAUACUUUGAUGAACACUUGAGUUGAGCGUCAAUGGUUAAGUUGCUUACUUUCAGAAUAUGAUCACUGGAGCUGCACAAAUGGAUGGUGGGAUUCUUGUGGUUUCAGGUCCUGAUGGACCCAUGCCUCAGACUAAGGAACAUAUUCUACUUGCACGUCAGGUUUGCAUCAUUACAAUCUCAACACUUAAAGCUACUCAAAAUGAGGUUAGAUAUUAAUUUUGUGAUGUUCCAACAGGUUGGUGUUCCAUCACUUGUGUGCUUCUUAAACAAAGUCGAUGUGGUGGAUGAUCCGGAGUUGCUGGAGCUUGUAGAGAUGGAACUGCGUGGUUUGUGAAUCUUUUAUGUUACAGAAUUUAGUUUUCUGAUCGUAUGAAGUAGUUCAAGCAUCUGACUGACAUCAACUCUUGUCUUGAUCCAGAACUUCUCAGCUUCUACAAGUUUCCAGGGGAUGAUAUUCCCAUCAUCAGGGGAUCUGCUCUGUCUGCACUGCAGGGCACUAACGAUGAAAUAGGACGGCAAGCUAUAUUGAAGCUAAUGGACGCUGUUGAUGAAUACAUACCAGACCCUGUUCGUGUGCUGGACAAGCCUUUCUUGAUGCCAAUUGAGGAUGUUUUCUCGAUUCAGGUAUACUAAUCUGCAUCCUUGCGUUUUCUCCAUUCACUCCCUUGUUUCGGAAAAUAAGUUCUGAUAGUUUUCUUCUUCUUAAAGGGACGUGGAACUGUUGCAACGGGUCGGAUUGAACAAGGAGUCAUCAAAGUGGGUGAAGAAGUCGAGAUAUUGGGUUUAAAAGACGUGAGUGUGUAUGAAUACUGCGUUUAUUCAACCAAAGUAGUGAUUACAGUUAAGCAUUUUCUUGAUUUGAUUUCCAGGGACCUCCAAUGAAAUCGACUGUAACUGGGGUCGAGAUGUUCAAGAAGAUUUUGGAUAAUGGACAGGUAAAGGCACCAUCGAGAGAUUACAAAGACAGGUUCUAGGCAUGUUUGAUUAAACUUUGGCUUUCAUUAUGUUAGGCUGGUGAUAAUGUAGGACUUCUUCUUCGUGGGCUAAAGAGAGAAGACAUCCAGCGUGGAAUGGUAAGCUUAUACAUCCUUAUUUUGACUAGUGGAUGAUUGAAUGUGAGCAUACUAAUGCUUUUGCUUAUUAGGUAAUUGCUAAGCCUGGCUCAUGCAAGACAUACAAGAAGUUUGAAGCAGAGAUUUAUGUGCUCACAAAGGACGAAGGUGGACGUCACACUGCUUUUCUCUCCAACUACAGGCCUCAGUUUUACUUGAGGACUGCAGAUAUCACGGGAAGAGUAGAGUUACCAGAAGAAGUGAAGAUGGUUAUGCCUGGUGACAAUGUCACUGCAGUUUUCGAGCUUAUCAUGCCUGUCCCACUCGAAAUAGGUCAAGAAUCCUUCAGACACUCUCCCUUUAUGUGCUUCCAACAGUUUCAGUUUCAGUUUCUGACUUGCUGUCACUAUUUGUCAAAACAGGUCAAAGAUUUGCUCUGAGGGAAGGAGGCAGAACAGUUGGAGCUGGUGUUGUGUCAAAAGUGAUGACUUAGGGAGUUCUCAAAAGGCACAUUCUUACGUUUUCUCUAGGAACCCAUCAGUGAUGUGUUUUGUUUCCUUUUGGUUUCACUGCUUUGAAAUAACACAGAAACAUAUCUCAAGUUUCCAUCGAGAAGAUUAGUAUUUUCUGCAAUUGUUUAGUAUUUUAAUAUGUUUUGAGUUUUAAUUAUACCACUAUAGCUUGAUCCGCACGGCCGUGCGGGUAUCUGUUUUUUACUUUACUAUUUAAAUGUUUAUUGGUUAGUAUUUUAAACAUUUAGCAUAUUUUAAAAAGUUUGUAAACAUAAAAAUUAAAUAGUUUAUAUGGUGUAAAAAAAUAUUGAUCCAUGCACAUGAUGCAUUGAUAUGUUUAAAUAAUAUUUCUUUUAACACGAAAUCGUUUUUCAAGUGUAAUAAUAAUUAUAAUAUUUUGAUUAGAUAUGAUGAGAUUUAGAUACAACAGAAAGGAAUAUUCAGUUUUAAACAUUAAUACAUCAUUAAUAACUGAUUUUUGAAAAGGCGAAGAUAAAUAAAUUAUAAUAUAAAUUUUUGUGGUGUCCAUUAAUUAUAUUCAUCUUUUUACUAAAGUAAUUAUGUAUAGUUACCGAAAUGUUAGGAAAUUACGUUAGUUUUGUUGCCAAAUAAUUUUUGUCAGUUAUAAUUAUUUUAGGAAAUGAUGUAAAGUUGGAAAAGACAAAAAUUAAUUAAAGUUAAGAUUAUUUAUUACUUCAGUGGCAUUGCUUUGUAAAUAAGUUGUAAGUUUUGGGAGUAUUUUUUAUUUUUAUUUGUAUUUCUAUUUUAGUAAGAUAGAUUUUUUUUUCUAAUUUCCUCCAUACACGUGAAUAUAUAUAUAUAUAUAUACAUAAAUCUCUCCUUUUAUUAUAGUUAUACUUAAGUACCAUGAAAAAUAAUUUAGAAUACAUUAAUACAAAUGUAGAAUGUGGUUAGAAAUUUUAAAACAAUAGUAAAGAUUAUAGGCUUCAGUACAUUAACCAUUUACCAAAAAACUGAAUAUUUUGUAGGGGUGUUAACACAUAGAUUUUGAGAAAAAUUCAAAAUAUAUAACAAUAUUUUUUUAAUACAUAGUUGUAUCAUGAACUAAUAUAUAAUGAUGGUAUGAGUGGUUUGGUACCUUUGUUAUCUCCGUUUUUCUAGAAUAGCGAUUUUAUUGGGGGGUUUCCACUGAUUUAUGGAGCAUAUGACGGUUUACUAAAUUAAUCGAUAAAAAAGAGAACGAUGCCCAUGUACCAUGAAAGAGAGUUUAGAAUACAUUAAUAUAAAUGUCGAAUGUGGUUAAAAAAUUUAAAACAGCACUAAAGAUUAUAGGCUUGAGUAUAUUAACCAUUUACCGAAAAGCUGAAUAUUUUGUAGGGGUUAACACACAAAUUUUGAGAAAAUUUCAAAAAAAUGAAAAAAUGUUUUAACGCAUAGUUGUAUCAAGAACUAACAUAUAAUGAUGGUUAGAGAACCUCUGUUGUCUCUAUUUCUCUAGAAUAACAAUUUUAUUGGGGUUUGUCCACUCAUUUACGGAUCAUUUAAAGUUUUACUAAAUUAAUUGAUAAAAAAUAGAAUGAUGCCUAUGUACCAUGAAAAAGAAUUUAGAAUACAUUAAUACAAAUGUAGAAUGUGGUUAGAAAUUUUAAAACAACAGUAAAGAUUAUAGGCUUCAGUACAUUAACCAUUUACCAAAAAAUUGAAUAUUUUGUAGGCGUUAACACGUAGAUUUUAAAAAAAAUUCAAAAUACAUAACAAUAUUUUUUUAAUGCAUAGUUGUAUCAUGAACUAAUAUAUAAUGAUGGUAUGAGUGGUUUGGUACAUUUGUUAUCUCCGUUUCUCUAGAAUAGCGAUUUUAUUGGGGGUUUCCACUAAUUUAUAGAACAUAUGAAGUUUUACUAAAUUAAUUGAUAAAAAAAAGAACGAUGCCCAUGUACCAUGAAAGAGAGUUUAGAAUACAUUAAUAUAAAUGUCAAAUAUGGUUAAAAAAUUUAAAACAACACUAAAGAUUAUACGCUUGAGUAUAUUAACCAUUUACCGAAAAACUGAAUAUUUUGUAGGGGUUGUUAACACACAAAUUUUGAGAAAAUUUCAAAAAAAUGAAAUUUUUUUUAAUGCAUAGUUGUAUCAAGAACUAAUAUAUGAAGAUGGUUAGAGAGGUUUGAAACCUUUGUUGUCUCCAUUUCUCUAGAAUAGCAAUUUUAUUGGGGUUUGUCCACUCAUUUAGGAAGCAUAUAAAGUUUUACUAAAUUAAUUGAUAAAAAAUAGAACGAAGCACAUGUACCAUAAAAAAGAAUUUAGAAUACAUUAAUACAAAUGUAGAAUGUGGUUAUAAAUUAAAAAAAAAAAGACUAAAGAUUAUGGGCUUCAGUACAUUAACCAUUUACCAAAAAACUGAAUAUGUUGUGGGGGUUAACAUAUAGAUUUUGAGAAAAAUUCAAAAUAUAUAAUAAUAUUUUUUUAUGCAUAGUUGUAUCAUGAACUAAUAUAUAAUGAUGGUAUGAGUGGUUUGGCACCUUAGUUAUCUCCGUUUCUCUGGAAUACCAAUUUUAUUGGGGUUUGUCAACUCAUUUAGGGAGCAUAUGAAGUUCUACUAAAUUAAUUGAUAAAAAAAAUAGAACGAUGCCCAUGUACCAUGAAAAAGAAUUUAGAAUAAAUUAAUACAAAUGUAGAACGUGGUUAGAAAUUUAAAAAAAACAGUAAAGAUUAUAGGUUUCAGUACAUUAACCAUUUACCGAAAAACUGAAUAUUGUGUAGGGGUUAACACAUAGAUUUUGAGAAAAUUUCAAAAAAAUGAAAAAAAUGUUUUAAGGCAUAGUUGUAUCAAGAACUAACAUAUGGUGAUGGUUAGAGAGGUUUGAAACCUUUGUUGUCUCUAUUUCUCUAGAAUAACAAUUUUAUUGGGGUUUGUCCACUCAUUUAGGGAGCAUAUGAAGUUUUACUAAAUUAAUAAAUAAAAAAUAAAACGAUGCCCUUGUACCAUGAAAAAAAAUUUAUAAUACAUUAAUAAAAAUUUAGAAUGUGGUUAUAAAUUAAAAAAAACACUAAAGAUUAUAGGCUUCAGAAUAUUAACCAUUUACCGAAUAACUGAAUAUUUUGUAGGGGUUAACACACAAAUUUUGAGAAAAUUUUAAAAAAAUGAAAAUAAUGUUUUAAUGCAUAGUUGUAUCAAGAACUAACAUAUGAUGAUGAUUAGAGAGGUUUGAAACCUUUGUUGUCUCCAUUUCUCUAGAAUAGCAAUUUUAUUGGGGUUUGUCCACUCAUUUAGGGAGCAUAUGAAGUUUUACUAAAAUUAUUGAUAAAAAAUAGAACGAUUCCCAUGUACCAUGAAAAAAAAAUUAUAAUACAUUAAUACAAAUGUAGAUUGUGGUUAUAAAUUAAAAAGAACACUAAAAAUUAUAGGCUUCAGUAUAUUAACCAUUUACCAAAAAACUUAAUAUUUUGUAGGGGUUACACACAAAUUUUGAAAAAAUUUCAAAAAAAUGAAAAUAAUUUAUUAAUGCAUAGUUGUAUCAAGAAUUAACAUAUGAUGAUGGUUAGAGAGGUUUGAAACCUUUGUUGUCUCCAUUUCUCUAGAAUAGCAAUUUUAUUGAGGGUUGUACACUCAUUUAGGGAGCAUAUCAAAUUUUACAAAAUUAACUGAUAAAAAAUAGAACGAUGCCCAUGUACCAUGAAAAAGAAUUUAAAAUACAUUAAUACAAAUGUAGAAUGUGGUUAUAAAUUAAAAAAAAACACUAAAGAUUAUAGGCUUCAGUACAUUAACCAUUUACCAAAAAACUGAAUAUUUUUUAGGGGUUAACACAAAACUUUUGAGAAAAAAUCAAAAUAUAUAACAAUAUUUUUUUAAUGCAUAGUUGUAUCAUGAACUAAUAUAUAAUGAUGGUAUGAGUGGUUUGGCACCUUAGUUAUCUCUGUUUCUCUAGAAUAGCAAUUUUAUUUGGGUUUGUCAACUCAUUUAGGGAUCAUAUGAUGUUCUAUUAAAUUAAUUGAUAAAAAAUAGAACGAAGCCCUUGUACCAUGAAAAAGAAUUUAGAAUACAGUAAUACAAAUGUAGAAUGUGCUUAUAAAUUAAAAAAAAACACUAAAGAUUAUAUGCUUUAGUAUAUUAACCAUUUACCGAAAAUCUGAAUAUUGUGUAGUGGUUAACACAUAGAUUUUGAAAAAAAAUCAUAAUAUAUAACAAUAUAUUUUUAAUGCAUAGUUGUAUCAUGAACUAAUAUAUAAUGAUGGUAUGAGUGGUUUGGUACCUUUUUUAUCUUCGUUUCUCUAGAAUAGCGAUUUUAUUGGGGGUUUCCACUGAAUUAUAGAGCAUAUGAAGUUUUAUUAAAUUAAUUGAUAAAAAAAGAGAUCGAUGCCAUGUACCAUGAAAGAUAGUUUAGAAUACAUUAAUACAAAUGUCGAAUGUGGUUAAAAAAUUUAAAACAACACUAAAGAUUAUAGGCUUGAGUAUAUUAACCAUUUACCGAAAAACUGAAUAUUUUGUAAGGGUUAACACACAAAUUUUGAGAAAAUUUCAAAAAAAUGAAAAAUAUGUUUUAAUGCAUAGUUGUAUCAAGAACUAACAUAUGAUGAUGGUUAGAGAGGUUUGAAACUUUUGUUGUCUCCAUUUCUCUAGAAUAGCAAUUUUAUUGGGGUUUUUUCACUCAUUUAGGGAGCAUAUGAAAUUUUACUAAAUUAAUUGAUAAAAAAUAGAACGAUGCCCAUAUACCAUGAAAAAGAAUUUAGAAUACAUUAAUACAAAUGUAGAAUGUGGUUAUAAAUUAAAAGAAAACACUAAAGAUUAUAUGCUUCAGUAUAUUAACCAUUUACCGAAAAACUGAAUAUUUUGUAGGGGUUAACACACAAAUUUUGAAAAAAUUUCAAAAAAAUGAAAAUAAUGUUUUAAUGCAUAGUUGUAUCGAGAACUAACAUAUGAUGAUGGUUAGAGAGGUUUGAAACCUUUGUUGUCUCCAUUUCUCUAGAAUAGCAAUUUUAUUGGGGUUUGUCCACUCAUUUAGGGAGAAUAUCAAGUUUUACAAAAUUAACUGAUAAAAAAUAGAACGAUGUCCAUGUACCAUGAAAAAGAAUUUAGAAUACAUUAAUACAAAUGUAGAAUGUGAUUAUAAAUUAAACAAAAAAAACACUAAAGAAUAUAUGCUUCAGUAUAUUAACCAUUUACCAAAAAACUGAAUAUUUUGUAGGGGUUAACACAUAGAUUUUGAGAAAACAUUUAAAAUAUAUAACAAUAUUUUUUUAAUGCAUAGUUGUAUCAUGAACUAAUGUAUGAAGAUGGUAUGAGAGGUUUGGUACCUUUGUUAUCUCUGUUUCUCUACAAUAGUGAUUUUAUUGGGGGUGUCCAUUGAUUUAGGGAGCAUAUGAAGUUUUACUAAACUAAUUGAUAAAAAUAGAAUGAUGUCCAUGUACCAUGAAAGAAAGUUUAGAAUACAUUAAUACAAAUGUAGAAUGUCGUUAAAAAUUAAAAAAAAAACACAAAAGAUUAUAGGCUUGAGUACAUUAACCAUUUACCGAAAAACUGAAUAUUGUGUACGGGUUAACACACAAAUUUUGAAAAAAAAUUCAAAAAAAUGAAAAUAAUGUUUUAAUGCAUAUUUGUAUCAAGAAGUAACAUAUGAUGAUGGUUAGAGAGGUUUGAAACCUUUAUUGUCUCCAUUUCUCUAGAAUAGCAAUUUUAUUGGGGUUUGUCCACUCAUUUAGGGAGCAUAUGAAGUUUUACUAAAUUAAUUGAUAAAAAAUAAAACGAUGCCCAUGUACCAUGAAAAAUAAUUUAUAGUACAUUAUUAAAAAUUUAGAAUGUGGUUAUAAAUUAAAAAAAAACACUAAAGAUUAUAGGCUUCAGUAUAUUAACCUUUUACCGAAAAACUGAAUAUUUUGUAGGGGUUAACACACAAAUUUUGAGAAAAUUUCAAAAAAUGAAAAUAAUGUUUUAAUGCAUAGUUGUAUCAAUAACUAACAUAUGAUGAUGGUUAGAGAGGUUUGAAACUUUUGUUGUCUCCAUUUCUCUAGAAUAGCAAUUUUAUUGGAGUUUGUCCACUCAUUUAAGGAGCAUAUGAAGUUUUACUGAAUUAAUUGAUAAAAAAUAGAACGAUGCCCAUGUACCAUGAAAAAAAAUUAUAAUACAUUAAUACAAAUGUCGAUUGUGGUUAUAAAUUAAAAAAAAAGACUAAAGAUUAUAGGCUUCAUUAUAUUAACCAUUUACCAAAAAACUGAAUAUUUUGUAGGGGUUAACACACAAAUUUUGAGAAAAUUUCAAAAAAAUGAAAAUAAUAUUUUAAUGCAUACUUGUAUCAAGAACUAACAUAUGAUGAUGGUUAGAGAGAUUUGAAACCUUUGUUGUCUCAAUUUCUCUAGAAUAGCAAUUUUAUUGGGGUUUAUCCACUCAAUUAGGGAGCAUAUAAAGUUUUACAAAAUUAACUGAUAAAAAAUAGAACGAUGCCCAUGUACCAUGAAAAAUAAUUUAGAAUACAUUAAUACAAAUGUAGAAUGUGGUUACAAAUUAAAAAAAAACACUAAAGAAUAUAUGCUUCAGUAUAUUAACCAUUUACCAAAAAACUGAAUAUUUUGUAGGGGGUUAACACAUAGAUUUUGAGAAAAAAUUGAAAAUAUAUAACAAUAUUUUUUUAAUGCAUAGUUGUAUCAUGAACUAAUGUAUGAUGAUGGUAUGAGAGGUUUGGUACCUUUGUUAUCUCUGUUUCUCUACAAUAGUGAUUUUACUAGGGGUGUCUAUUGAUUUAGGGAGCAUAUGAAGUUUUACUAAACUAAUUGAUAAAAAUAGAAUGAUGUUCAUGUACCAUAAAAUAAAGUUUAGAAUACAUUAAUACAAAUGUGAAAUGUGGUUAAAAAUUAAAAAAAAAAAACACUAAAGAUUAUAUGCUUGAGUAUAUUAACCAUUUACCAAAAAAACUGAAUAUUUCGUAGGGGUUAACACACAAAUUAUGAAAAAAAUUCAAAAAAAUGAAAAUAAUGUUUUAAUGCAUAUCUGUAUCAAGAAGUAACAUAUGAUGAUGGUUAGAGAGGUUUGAAACCUUUGUUGUCUCCAUUUCUCUAGAAUAGCAAUUUUAUUGGGGUUUGUCCACUCAUUUAGAGAGCAUAUGAAGUUUUACUAAAUUAAUUGAUAAAAAAUAGAACGAUGCCCAUGUACCAUGAAAAAAAAUUUAGAAUACAUUAAUACAAAUGUAGAAUGUGGUUAUAAAUUAAAAAAAAACACUAAAGAUUAUAUGCUUCAGUAUAUUAACCAUUUACCGAAAAACUGAAUAUUUCGUAGGGGUUAACACAAAAAUUUUGAGAAAAUUUUUAAAAAAUGAAAAAAAUGUUUUAAUGCAUAGUUGUAUCAAGAGCUAACAUAUGAUGAUGGUUAGAGAGGUUUGAAACCUUUGUUGUCUCAAUUUCCCUAGAAUAGCAAUUUUAUUGGGGUUUGUCCACUCAUUUAAGGAGCAUAUCAAGUUUUACAAAAUUAACUGAUAAAAAAUAGAACGAUGCCCAUGUACCAUGAAAAAGAAUUUAGAAUACAUUAAUACAAAUGUAGAAUGUGGUUAUAAAUUAAAAAAAAACACUAAAGAUUAUAGGUUUCAGUACAUUAACCAUUUACCAAAAAAACUGACUAUUUUGUAGGGGUUAACACAAAACUUUUGAGAAAAAUUCAAAAUAUAUAACAAUAUUUUUUUAAUGCAUAGUUGUAUCAUGAACUAAUAUAUAAUGAUGGUAUGAGUGAUUUGGCACUUUAGUUAUCUCCGUUUCUCUAGAAUAGCAAUUUUAUUGGGGUUUGUCAACUCAUUUAGAGAUCAUAUGAAAUUUUACUAAAUUAAUUGAUAAAAAAUAAAACGAUGCCCUUGUACCAUGAAAAAGAAUUUAGAAUACAGUAAUACAAAUGCAGAAUGUGCUUAUAAAUUUAAAAAAAAAAACACUAAAGAUUAUAUGCUUUAGUAUAUUAACCAUUUACCGAAAAUAUGAAUAUUGUGUAGUGGUUAACACAUAGAUUUUGAAAAAAAAAUCAUAAUAUAUAACAAUAUUUUUUUAAUGCAUAGUUGUAUCAUGAACUAAUAUAUAAUGAUGGUAUGAGUGGUUUGGUACCUUUUUUAUCUUCGUUUCUCUAGAAUAGCGAUUUUAUUGGGGUUUCCAUUGAUUUAUGGAGCAUAUGAAGUUUUAUUAAAUUAAUUGAUAAAAAAAAGAGAACGAUGCCCAUGUACCAUGAAAGAUAGUUUAGAAUACAUUAAUACAAAUGUUGAAUGUGGUUAAAAAAUUUAAAACAGCACUAAAGAUUAUAGGCUUGAGUAUAUUAACCAUUUACCGAAAAACUGAAUAUUUUGUAGGGGUUAACACACAAAUUUUGAGAAAAUUUCAAAAAAAUGAAAAAUAUGUUUUAAUGCAUAGUCGUACCAAGAACUAACAUAUGAUGAUGGUUAGAGAGGUUUGAAACUUUUGUUGUCUCCAUUUCUCUAGAAUAGCAAUUUUAUUGGGGUUUUUCCACUCAUUUAGGGAGCAUAUGAAGUUUUACUAAAUUAAUUGAUAAAAAAUAGAACGAUGCCCAUAUACCAUGAAAAAUAAUUUAGAAUACAUUAAUACAAAUGUAGAAUGUGGUUAUAAAUUAAAAAAAAACACUAAAGAUUAUAUGAUUCAGUAUAUUAACCAUUUACCGAAAAACUGAAUAUUUUGUAGGGGUUAACACACAAAUUUUGAGAAAAUUUCAAGAAAAUGAAAAUAAUGUUUUAAUGCAUAGUUGUAUCGAGAACUAACAUAUGAUGAUGGUUAGAGAGGUUUGAAACCUUUGUUGUCUCCAUUUCUCUAGAAUAGCAAUUUUAUUGGGGUUUGUCCACUCAUUUAGGGAGAAUAUCAAGUUUUACAAAAUUAACUGAUAAAAAAUAGAACGAUGCCCAUGUACCAUGAAAAAGAAUUUAGAAUACAUUAAUACAAAUGUAGAAUGUGGUUAUAAAUUAAAAAAAAAACACUAAAGAAUAUAUGCUUCAGUAUAUUAACCAUUUACCAAAAAACUGAAUAUUUUGUAGGGGUGUCCAUUGAUUUAGAGAGCAUAUGAAGUUUUACAAAACUAAUUGAUAAAAAUAGAAUGAUGUCCAUGUACCAUGAGAGAAAGUUUAGAAUACAUUAAUAAAAAUGUAGAAUGUGGUUAAAAAUUAAAAAAAAAACACUAAAGAUUAUAUGCUUGAGUAUAUUAACCAUUUACCGAAAAACUGAAUAUUUUGUAGGGGUUAGCACACAAAUUUUGAAAAACAUUCAAAAAAAUGAAAAUAAUGUUUUAAUGCAUAUUUGUAUCAAGAACUAAUAUAUGAUGAUGGUUAGAGAGGUUUGAAACCUUUGUUGUCUCUAUUUUUCUAGAAUAUCAAUUUUAUUGGGGUUUGUCCACUCAUUUAGGAAGCAUAUGAAGUUUUACUGAAUUAAUUGAUAAAAAAUAGAACGAUGCCCAUGUGCCAUGAAAAAUAAUUUAUAAUACAUUAAUACAAAUGUAGAUUGUAAUUAUAAAUUAAAAAAAACACUAAAGAUUAUAGGCUUCAGUAUAUUAACCAUUUACUAAAAAACUGAUUAUUUUGUAGGGGUUAGCACAAAAAUUUUGAGAAAAUUUCAAAAAAAUGAAAAUAAUGUUUUAAUACAUAGUUGUAUCAAGAACUAACAUAUGAUGAUGGUUAGAGUGGUUUGAAACCUUUGUUGUCUCCACUUCUCUAGAAUAGCAAUUUUAUUGGGGUUUGUCCACUCAUUUAGGGAGCAUAUCAAGUUUUACUAAAUUAAUUGAUUAAAAGUAGAAUGAUGCCUAUGUACCAUGAAAAAGAAUUUAGAAUACAUUAAUACAAAUGUAGAAUGUUGUUAGAAAUUUUAAAACAACAGUAAAGAUUAUAGCCUUCAGUACAUUAACCAUUUACCAAAAAAAAUUGAAUAUUUUGUAGGGGUUAACAUAAGAUUUUGAAGAAAAUUCAAAAUACAUAACAAUAUUUUUUAAUGCAUAGUUGUAUCAUGAACUAAUAUAUAAUGAUGGUAUGAGUGGUUUGGUACCUUUGUUAUCUUCGUUUCUCUAGAAUAACGAUUUUAUUGGGGGUUUCCACUAAUUUAUGGAACAUAUGAAGUUUUACUAAAUUAAUUUAUAAAAAAAAGAAAGAUGUCCAUGUACCAUGAAAGAGAGUUUAUAAUACAUUAAUAUAAAGGUCGAAUGUGGUUAAAAAAUUUAAAACAGCACUAAAGAUUAUAGGCUUGAGUAUACUAACCAUUUACCGAAAAACUGAAUAUUUUGUAGGGGUUAACACAUAAAUUUUGAGAAAAUUUCAAAAAAAUGAAAAAAAUGUUUUAAUGCAUAGUUGUAUCAAGAACUAACAUAUGAAGAUGGUUAGAGAGGUUUGAAACCUUUGUUGUCUCCAUUUCUCUAGAAUAGCAAUUUUAUUGGGGUUUGUCCACUCAUUUAGGGAUCAUAUGAAGUUUUACUAAAUUAAUUGAUAAAAAGUAGAAUGAUGCCUAUGUACCAUGAAAAAGAAUUUAGAAUACAUUAAUACAAAUGUAGAAUGUGGUUAGAAAUUUUAAAACAACAGUAAAGAUUAUAGGCUUCGGUACAUUAACCAUUUACCAAAAAAAUAAAUAUUUUGUAGGGGUUAAUACAUAGAUUUUGAAAAAAAUUCAAAAUACAUAACAAUAUUUUUUUAAUGCAUAGUUGUAUCAUGAACUAAUAUAUAAUGAUGGUAUGAGCGGUUUGGUACAUUUGUUAUCUCCGUUUCUCUAGAAUAGCGAUUUUAUUGGGGGUUUCCACUAAUUUAUGGAACAUAUGAAGUUUUACUAAAUUAAUUGAUAAAAAAAAGAACGAUGCACAUGUACCAUGAAAGAGAGUUUAGAAUACAUUAAUAUAAAUGUCGAAUGUGGUUAAAAAAUUUAAAACAACACUAAAGAUUAUAGGCUUGAGUAUAUUAACCAUUUACCGAAAAACUGAAUAUUUUGUAGGGGUUGUUAACACACAAAUUUUGAGAAAAUUUCAAAAAAAUGAAAAAAAUGUUUUAAUGCAUAGUUGUAUCAAGACCUAACAUAUGAAGAUGGUUAGAGAGGUUUGAAACCUUUGUUGUCUUCAUUUCUCUAGAAUAGCAAUUUUAUUGGGGUUUGUCCACUCAUUUAGGAAGCAUAUGAAGUUUUACUAAAUUAAUUGAUAAAAGAAUGAACGAUGCCCAUGUACCAUAAAAAAGAAUUUAUAAUACAUUAAUAAAAAUUUAGAAUGUGGUUAUAAAUUAAAAAAAAACACUAAAAAAUAUAUGCUUGAGUAUAUUAACCGUAUACCGAAAAACUGAAUAUUUUGUAGGGGUUAACACACAAAUUUUGAGAACAUUUCAAAAAAAUGAAAAUAAUGUUUUAAUGCAUAGUUGUAUCAAGAAGUAACAUAUGAUGAUGGUUAGAGAGGUUUGAAACCUUUGUUGUCUCCAUUUCUCUAGAAUAGCAAUUUUAUUGGGGUUUAUCCACUCAUUUAGGGAGCAUAUCAAGUUUUACAAAAUUAAUUGAUAAAAAAUAGAACGAUGCACAUGUACCGUGAAAAAGAAUUUAGAAUACAUUACUACAAAUGUAGAAUGUAGUUAUAAAUUAAAAAAAAAACUGUAAAGAUUAUAGGAUUCAGUCCAUUAACCAUUUACCAAAAAACUGAAUAUUUUAAAGGGGUUAACAUAUAGCUUUUGAGAAAAUUUCAAAAUAUAUAAUAAUAUUUUUUUAAUGCAUAGUUGUAUCAUGAACUAAUAUAUAAUGAUAGUAUGAGUGGUUUUGCACCUUAGUUAUCUCUGUUUCUCUGGAAUAGCAAUUUUAUUGGGGUUUGUCAACUCAUUUAGGGAGCAUAUAAAGUUCUACUAAAUUAAUUGAUAAAAAAAAUAGAACGAUGCCCAUGUACCAUGAAAAAGAAAUAGAAUAAAUUAAUACUAAUGUAGAAUAUGGUUAGAAAUUUUAAAACAACAGUAAAGAUUAUAGGCUUCUGUACAUUAACCAUUUACCGAAAAUCUGAAUAUUGUGUAAGGGUUAACACAUAGAUUUUGAGAAAAUUUCAAAAAAAUGAAAAAAAUGUUUUAAUGCAUAGUUGUAUCAAGAACUAACAUAUGGUGAUGGUUAGAGAGGUUUGAAACCUUUGUUGUCUCCAUUUCUCUAGAAUAGCAAUUUUAUUGGGGUUUGUCCACUCAUUUAGGGAGCAUAUGAAGUUUUACUAAAUUUAUUGAUAAAAAAUAAAACGAUGCCCAUGUACCAUGAAAAAGAAUUUAUAGUACAUUAAUAAAAAUUUAGAAUGUGGUUAUAAAUUAAAAAAAAAACACUAAAGAUUAUAGGCUUCAGUAUAUUAACCUUUUACCGAAAAACUGAAUAUUUUGUAGGGGUUAACACACAAAUUUUGAGAAAAUUUCAAAAAAAUGAAAAUAAUGUUUGAAUGCAUAGUUGUAUCAAGAACUAACAUAUGAUGAUGGUUAGAGAGGUUUGAAACUUUUAUUGUCUCCAUUUCUCUAGAAUAGCAAUUUUAUUGGGGUUUGUCCACUCUUUUAAGGAGCAUAUGAAAUUUUACUGAAUUAAUUGAUAAAAAAUAGAACGAUGCCCAUGUACCAUGAAAAAGAAUUUAUAAUACAUUAAUACAAAUGUCGAUUGUGGUUAUAAAUUAAAAAAAAAAACACUAAAGAUUAUAGGCUUCAUUAUAUUAACCAUUUACCAAAAAAAACUGAAUAUUUUGUAGGGGUUAACACACAAAUUUUGAGAAAAUUUCAAAAAAAUGAAAAUAAUGUUUUAAUGCAUAGCUGUAUCAAGAACUAACAUAUGAUGAUGGUUAGAGAGGUUUGAAACUUUUAUUGUCUCCAUUUCUCUAGAAUAGCAAUUUUAUUGGGGUUUGUCCACUCUUUUAAGGAGCAUAUGAAGUUUUACUGAAUUAAUUGAUAAAAAAUAGAACGAUGCCCAUGUACCAUGAAAAAGAAUUUAUAAUACAUUAAUACAAAUGUCGAUUGUGGUUAUAAAUUAAAAAAAAAACACUAAAGAUUAUAGGUUUCAUUAUAUUAACCAUUUACCAAAAAACUGAAUAUUUUGUAGGGGUUAACACACAAAUUUUGAGAAAAUUUCAAAAAAAUGAAAAUAAUGUUUUAAUGCAUAUUUGUAUCAAGAAAGAACAUAUGAUGAUGGUUAUAGAGGUUUGAAACCUUUGUUGUCUCAAUUUCUCUAGAAUAGCAAUUUUAUUGGGGUUUGUCCACUCAUUUAGGGAGCAUAUCAAGUUUUACAAAAUUAACUUAUAAAAAAUAGAACGAUGCCCAUGUACCAUGAAAAAUAAUUUAGAAUACAUUAAUACAAAUGUAGAAUGUGGUUAUAAAUUUAAAAAAAAAACACUAAAGAAUAUAUGCUUCAGUAUAUUAACCAUUUACAGAAAAACUGAAUAUUUUGUAGGGGGGUUAACACAUAGAUUUUGAGAAAAAAUUGAAAAUAUAUAACAAUAUUUUUUUAAUGCAUAGUUGUAUCAUGAACUAAUGUAUGAUGAUGGUAUGAGAGGUUUGGUACCUUUGUUAUCUCUGUUUCUCUACAAUAGUGAUUUUACUAGGGGUGUCCAUUGAUUUAGGGAGCAUAUGAAGUUUUACUAAACUAAUUGAUAAAAAUAGAAUGAUGUCCAUGUACCAUAAAAGAAAGUUUAGAAUACAUUAAUACAAAUGUGAAAUGUGGUUAAAAAAUUUAAAAAAAAACACUAAAGAUUAUAUGCUUGAGUAUAUUAACCAUUUACCAAAAAAACUGAAUGUUUUGUAGGGGUUAACACAUAGAUUUUGAGAAAAAAUUGAAAAUAUAUAACAAUAUUUUUUUAAUGCAUAAUUGUAUCAUGAACUAAUAUAUAAUGAUGGUAUGAGUGGUUUGGUACCUUAGUUAUCUCCGUUUCUUUAAAAUAGCAAUUUUAUUGGGGUUUGUCAACUCAUUUAGGGAGCAUAUGAAGUUAUACUAUAUUAAUUGAUAAAAAAUAGAACGAUGUCCAUGUACCAUGAAUAAUAAUUUAGAAUACAUUAAUACAAAUGUAGAAUGUGGUUAGAAAUUUUAAAACAACAGUAAAGAUUAUAGGCUUCAGUACCUUAACCAUUUACCAAAAAAACUGAAUAUUUUGUAGGGGUUAACACAUAGAUUUUGAGAAAAAUUCAAAAUAUAUAACAAUAUUUUUUUAAUGCAUAGUUGUAUCAUGAAAUAAAAUAUAAUGAUGGUAUGAGUGGUUUGGUACCUUUGUUAUCUCCGUUUCUCUAGAAUAGCGAUUUUAUUGGAGGUUUCCACUAAUUUAUGGAGCAUAUGAAGUUUUACUAAAUUAAUUGAUAAAAAAGAGAACGAUGCCCAUGUACCAUGAAAGAGAGUUUCGAAUACAUUAAUAUAAAUUUCGAAUGUGGUUAAAAAAUUUAAAACAGCACUAAAAAUUAUAGGCUUGAGUAUAAUAACCAUUUACCGAAAAGCAGAAUAUUUUGUAGGGGUUAACACACAAAUUUUGAGAAAAUUUCAAAAAAAUAAAAAAAAAAUUUAACACAUAGUUGUAUCAAGAACUAACAUAUAAUGAUGGUUGGAGAGGUUUGAAACCUUUGUUGUCUCCAUUUCUCUAGAAUAGCAAUUUUAUUGGGGUUUGUCCACUCAUUUAGGGAGCAUAUAAAAUUUUAUUAAAUUAAUUAAUAAAAAUUCGAAUGAUGCCCAUGUACCAUGAAAAAUAAUUUAAAAUACAUUAAUACAAAUGUAGAAUGUGGUUAGAAAUUUUAAAAUAACAGUAAAGAUUAUAGGCUUCAGUAUCUUAACCAUUUACCAAAAAAACUGAAUAUUUUGCAGGGGUUAACAUAUAGAUUUUGAGAAAAAUUCAAAAUAUAUAACAAUAUUUUUUUAAUGCAUAGUUGUAUCAUGAACUAAUAUAUAAUGAUGGUAUGAGAGGUUUGGUACUUUUGUUAUCUCCGUUUCUCUGGAAUAGUGAUUUUAUUGAGGGUUUCCAUUGAUUUAGGGAGCAUAUGAAGUUUUACUAAAUUAAUUGUUAAAAAAUAAAACGAUGUCCAUGUACUAUGAAAGAGAGUUUAAAAUAAAUUAAUACAAAUAUAGAUUAUGGUUAUAAAUUAAAAAAAAAAACACUGAAGAUUAUAUGCUUCAGUAUAUUAACCAUUUACCAAAAAACUGAAAAUUUUGUAUGGGUUACACACAAAUUUUGAGAAAAUUUCAAAAAAAUGAAAAUAAUGUUUUAUUGCAUAGUUGUAUCAAGAACUAACAUAUCAUGAUGGUUAGAGAGGUUUGAAACUUUUGUUGUCUCCAUUUCUCUAGAAUAGCAAUUUUAUUGGGGUUUGUCCACUCAUUUAGGGAGCAUAUGAAGUUUUACUGAAUUAAUUGAUAAAAAAUAGAAUGAUGCUCAUGUACCUUGAAAGAGAGUUUAAAAUACAUUAAUACAAAUGUAGAAUAUGGCUAUAAAUUAUAAACAAACACUAAAGAUUAUAUGCUUCAGUAUAUUAACCAUUUACCGAAAAACUGAAUAUUUUGUGGGGGUGUUAACACACAAAUUUUGAGAAAAAUUUCAAAAACAUGAAAAUAAUUUUUUAAUGCAUAGUUGUAUCAAGAACUAACAUAUGAUGAUUGUUAGAGAGGUUUGAAACCUUUGUUAUCUCCAUUUCUCUAGAAUAUCAAUUUUAUUGGGGUUUGUCCACUCAUUUAGGGAGCAUAUGAAGUUUUACUGAAUUAAUUGAUAAAAAAUAGAAUGUUGCCCAUGUACCAUGAAAAAGAAUUUAUAAUACAUUAAUACAAAUGUAGAAUGUGGUAUUAAAAAACACUAAAGAUUAUAGGCUUCAUAACAUUAACCAUUUACCAAAAAACUGAAUAUUUUGUAGGGGUUAAAACAUAGGUUUUGAAAAGAAUUCAAAAUAUAUAAUAAUAUUUUUUAAUGCAUAGUUGUAUCAUGAACUAAUAUAUAAUGAUGGUAUGAGUGGUUUAGUACCUUCGUUAUCUCCGUUUCUCUAGAAUAUCAAUUUUAUUGGGGUUUGUCAACUCAUUUAGGAAGCAUACGAAGUUUUAUUAAAUUAAUUGAUAAAAAAUAGAACGAUGACAUUUACCAUGAAAAAGAAUUUAGAAUACAUUAAUACAAAUGUAGAAUGUGCUUAUAAAUUUAAAAAAAAAACACUAAAAAUUAUAUGCUUCAGUAUAUUAACCAUUUACAGAAAAACUGAAUGUUUUGUAGGGGUUAACACAUAGAUUUUGAGAAAAAUUCAAAAAAUAUGUCAAUAUUGUUUUAAUGCAUAGUUGUAUCAUGAAAUAACAUAUGAUGAUGGUCAAAGAGGUUUGAAACUUUUUUUUGUCUCCGUUUCUCUAGAAUAACGAUUUUAUUGUGGUUUGUGAACUAAUUUAGGGAGUAUAUGAAGUUUUACUGAAAUAAUUGAUAAUAAAUAGAACGAUUCUCAUGUACCAUUAAAGAAAGUUUAGAAUACACUAACACAAAUUUAAAAUGUGGUUAAAAAUUGUAAAACAACACUAAAGACUAUAAGCUUCAAUAUAUUAACCAUUUACCCAAAAAUUAAAUAUUUUAUAGGGGUUAAACACAUAGAUUUUGAGAAGAAAAAAAUGACAAUAAAGUUUUAAUGCAUAAUUUUAUCAUGAACUAACAUAUGAUGAUGGUCAGAGAGGUUUGGAACCUUUGUUGUCUCUGUUUCUAUAAAAUAACAAUUUUAUCGUGGUUUGUCAACUAAUCUAGAGAGCAUAGGAAGUUUUACCAAAUUAAUUGAUAAAAAAAUAAAACUAUGUCCAUGUACCGCGAAAGAGAGUUUAGAAUACAUUAAUACAAAUGUAGAAUGUGGUUAGAUAUUUAAAAUAACACUAAAUAUUAUAAGCUUCACUAUAUUAACCAUUUACCAAAAAACUGAAUAUUUUGUAGGGAGCAUAUGUAGUUUUACUUUAUUAAUUGAUUAAAAAAAUAGAACGAUGUUCAUGUACUAUUAAAGAGAGUUUAGAAUACAUUAAUACAAAUGUGGAGUGUGGUUAUACAUUUUAAAACAACACUAAAUAUUAUAGGUUUCAGUAUAUUAACUAUUUACCGAAAAAGUGAAUAUUUUGUAAGGGUUAACACUUAGAUUUUGAGAAAACUUAAAAAAAUACAACAAUAUUUUUUAAUGCAUAGUUGUAUCAUGAACUAACAUAUGAUGAUGGUCCGAGAGGUUUGGAACCUUUAUUGUCUUCGUUUCUCUAGAAUAACGAUUUUAUUAUUGUUUGUUAACUGAUUUGGGGAGCAUAUGAAGUUUUACUAAAUUGGUUGAUAAAAAAUAGAACAAUGGCUAUGUAACAUGAAAAUAGUUUAGAAUAAAUUAAUAAAAAUGUAGAAUGUGGUUAGAAAUUUUAAAACAAUACUAAAGAUUAUAAGUUUCAAUAUAUUAACCAUUUACCGAAAAAUGAAUAUUUUAUAGGAGUUAACACAUAGAUUUUAAAAAUAAUUAAAAAAAUAUGACAAUAUUCUUUUAAUAAAUAGUUUUAUAAGAUACGAUGAUGGAUGGUCAAAAGAGGUUUUAGAAGAGAAUAGAUAAGUAGUGUGUAAAAUAAAAAGGGCCUAAGUUGAAAGAUUUUAGAUCAAUGGAAACGAAAUAGAAUUUCCCAUGUGUAAAGGCCCACACAAAGAGCCCCACGUGAAAACCGGGUUUGGACUAGCAUCGUCGGUUUAGGUUCGAUUCGAUUCGGGUUAAUUCUCUUCUUUCACUCAAGACUCACUCUCUCUUCGCUCUUUCCACUAUUAUAUCAUCCGUGGCUAUGAAAGAGCAGAACAAACGAUGUAGUGCAUGCACCCAUCCCGUUGGUCUCCUGUCCUUUUAUGGAUGUACGGAGUGUGAUUUUUCGCUCCAUCAGAAAUGUGCUGAAUGUCCUACAAGGAAAUGGCAUGUGCUACACAAUGAACGACUCACUUUAGUUACAAACAAGGAGCUAGAGGUCUUCGAUUGUUAUGCUUGCAAGCGAAAUUCCAAUGGUUUCAUGUACAAGCAUGGGACGAAGAAGUUGGAUGUCUUGUGCGGUUCAAUUUCUGAGCCAUUUACCCAUCCAAGUCAUCCCCACCAUCCCUUAUAUUACACUCUAAUAGAAAAAGAGGAACUAUGCAAUGGUUGCAACGGACGGGAAUAUUUUAUCCUCAAGUGCAUUGAAGGUUUCACAUGCGCCACUCUACCACAAGUGGUAAAUCACAGAGUAGACGAUCAUCCUCUCUCACUAUGCUAUGGCGAAGAAGAAGAGGCAAGUGGUAAAUAUUGGCCUGACAUUUGUGAGAGAGAAACCAAUCCAAACAACUGGUUCUACGCGUGUAAAAAUCACCUGGCCUGUUUGCAUAUAAAGUGUGUGCUCGGAGACUCUUCAGGGUUCAUGCCAAGUAGCGUAGCAACGUUUUGGACCAGAUCGUUUGAGGUGGUGCUCAAUGAUAGUGUAACUCUCCCAUUUUGCAGCCGGUGUAAGUCUCGUUGCAUGUACCCUAUCAACCUCAAGUUACUUGGAAGAUCAAGUACAUACAUUUGCUCAAUUAAUUGCGCAUCUCAUUGGAGAGGCACAACGAUAUGAAUCGUCAGAACUAUGAAGUGUAGUGAAGUACGUCAUGGAAUUAUUCGUUUUAGUUUUUAUAUUCUUCCUUGUUCAAGUUCACUUUCAUUAUGAGUUGAUCUCUCUAAUGUACUUAUUUUAUUUGUAUGGUGACGGAUAUUCCAAGUAGCGCCAAAGUCUUCAUAUGGUUCAACUUGUAUCAAAAAGUCAAAAGGGGACACUCCAUAAUGUAACUAACCUCCAUAGUUUAGUUUAGAUUAAGAUAAUAAGAUUUUAGUACCUGUCUCAAUAACUAAAAAUCAUCAUGUAACUAGGUUUCAUAAUACAAAAACAUUCAAGAGAAUGACUCCUAAACGACAAUCUCAAUAUCCCCUUUCCCUCGAACCUCACCUCACCUCACCUCCUACCUUUGUUUGCUUUAAAUAUGUUUUCUUUGUAGUACUUAAGCUCCUUGAUGCUUUCUCUUAUAUCAUCCAUGGCUCUGUGAUUGUUUUUCUUUGCAGGAGCUCUGUUUUUUUCUAAUGCUCAACAAACCAAACAAGUAUCAUUGUCAUACACAAGGCAACUUUUAUGUUUUCAAAUAAUUUUUUCUUUUAAAUAUUUGUUUUUACCUCUGGGAAACCAUCGGGUGCAUAAAGACUUGACACUACUGACAUCGACAAGCACAUGAGGGAAAAGAGCAGCCAAAUCUGGCAUGUACUUCUGUAAACACACACACAUUAUAUAUUGGUUACAAUCAUCAACAUGCAAUUGUUCAGAUUACAAUCAAAACUUUCGAGAUACCUUUAAGAAAAGGAAAUCCACGUAGAUAGAGUUCCCAGCUAAUUGUGGAUUUUCAUUACCAACAUGCUUUUUCACAAAUUUGAUGACCUGUAAACAAAACCAGAAUAAACUAAUUAACAAUAAAUGUCAACAAUGUUUUUGCUCAAGAUUAUCUAAAAAUACCUCUUGUUCAGCUUGCCUUUCACUUAUAGUACUAGAGAGAACUUUCUUUGUCAAACCUAAAUCAGACAGAAUCCAUGAGAAACAGAUAAAAUGUAGAAUGCGACUAAUAUCUUGAGAGAGAAAGAGAGAGAAGCUUACCACUGUCUCCAUGAUGAGUUUGACACCAAUCACCCAUUUUAUCCAUGCAGUCUUUCGUUUGAUGUACAACUAAAUCUGGACCCUAAACUCAGUAGACAAACGUUUUCAAUAACAAAAGUCAAAACAAAUUUUGCGUGGAAGAGCUAAUUGAGCCAUAUGAGAAAAAUGAGCUAUGUAAUAACUUAUGAUAAGAAAAAAAACAGUAAUUAUCAUAUUACACACUGAUUAAGGUAUAAAUCCAUAUACCAUGAUAGUUUAAACAAUUUAUUCAAAGGGAGAAACUUAGGCUAUUUCAAGAAGGUAAGAAAUAGGUAGAAGAAGAAUAUAUAUACCUCCACUGAUUUGGUUAAUUGUCCAUCAGUAAUUAUACAAGCAAUCUCCAGUAUCCUGUCAUCUUCAACAUUAAGACCUACACAUUAUUACAAUAUAGAGUAAGAAUAUUAAAAAUAUUGAUGAUCCAAAAUACAGUCAAGGCUUAAUAAAUCUUACUAUACAUCUUAGUAGAGCUGGCAUUAGUGUUGUUAUGAUGCAUACAAGAAUAUAAAAACUCUAUGUAAAUGGUGAAUGUGAGAGGUAGCUCAAAAAACAUUAAACAUAUAAGGGAGACAAACAAUGGAUCAUAUUGUUGAAGAUGAAGCUAAAUUAAAUAAAAAGGGAAUCUAUAAAAUAUAGAAUUAAGGACAAGAAACAAGAUGGAAACAUACAUACCAGUCAUCUCCAAGUCAAUCCAGACAAGUGGUUGCUUAUAGUUUCCGACAUCCUCCUCUACUACUCUUUCUCCUUGUUUUCCUAUUUAAAAAAAAAAAGAGAAUUGACACAUGGAUCGAUAUUUAAAACUGAAAGGAUGAAUCUUUCUUCAUAGGAAGAUUACCAGCGGAGGAGGAGGACGAGGGGAGACCAUCUUCGUCGUCGGCGAGAGCAAGGAGAGAGAAAGCAUUGGAGAGCUGAUUCUCCAUUUAUAAAAAAAAAACAAUUUUGGGAGAGCGUUAGACCCGACCUAAAGGAGCAUCCCCGUGUCGGAAAGCAAAAAAGAAAAAAUUAUGAUUCGGUUAUUCCUGGUUUAGCAAAACCGAUUCAGUUUAGUUGAAGUGUGGGCCAUAUAGCUUAGUUUAUUUCUUUGCAUGUCAAAAAAUGAUUUCCUUGUGAACUCAAUUUCGUCAAAAAUGAAUUAAUCAUAAUGAUUAUCAGAAUACAUGAUCUGUUGAUUAGUGGGGUUUUCCCAGCGUGAAUUCUAAAGUUUAUAUAUAAGUAUCCAAUUAGCAGUUAGAAAGGAUGAAAGAAUUGAAACGGAAAUUCUAUCUCCGGUGGUAAAGGGUUUACAGUUGUGAGUACCGUCACCUGGAUUUGAAUUCCGGUCACUGGGGAAUUAACAUUUCGACAUCGUCAAGGACAGAGGACCGACACGUGACAACACGUGACUAGUCUGGAUCACUUCUAUGGGACCAGGAUACCUCUGUAUAAUUCAAAAAAAAAAGAAGAAAGAAUUGUAUAAGAUCCCCGAUAAACUAACAAUAAUAUCAGGUUCGUAUUAUCUGACUGAAUUUAUUUUUAAUAGGGCGUGUGUUUAUAAUUUUGAAUCAUCCAAACUUGAUGAGCCCGGGUUGUUAUUUGGUUUUAUUAAUUUUGGGAUUAUAAUAGAAUCUCUAUAAAUUAAUACUCGAUAAAUUAAUAAUCUCUAUAAAUUAAUAAAUUUAGUUGGUCCCAACUUGGACCGGUUCAAAAUUUGACACAAAUCGAUAAAAUAGUAAGAUAAUAUUUUUUUUAGAAAAUUUUAUGUAAAUAUAUGGCCCCAUUAAAAUUAUAAAUUAAUAAUUUAUAUGUAUAAAUAUUUUAUAUAAGUAAAAACCAAUUAUUACAUUAUUUGUUUUAUAUUCACAAUGGAAUUAUCUUUAUAUUUUUCUUAACAUUUAAUAUAUUUUUUUUAUGAGAUUCAGUAAUAUUAUAUCUAAAAUUAUAUUUAAGUUCUAUGCAAUAUAUUAUGUACACCAAAUAAUAUAAUAAAAUUAAUAUAAAUGUUAAAUUUCAAAAAAAAAAUAACAAUAUAAAUGUCUAUACACUAAAAUCAAAUAUUUUUCUUAUUUUAGAAUAAAUAUAUCUUAAAAUAAAAAAAUCUAAAUAACAAAUUUUUUUUAAAUUAAUAUCUCUGUAAAUUAAUAAAAUUUUAAAGUUCCAACAUUGUUAAUUUAUAGAGGUUUUACUAUAUGUUUGUUAAUUUGGCGAAGUUAGAGCAUCUCCAAGAGAGAAGAUAUUUAUUUAGCGUAUCUUAGCCAUAAAAGAUUUUUAAAAAAAUUAGAAGAGAGAUACCAUAGUAUCUCAAACAAAACAUUCUUAGAAUUUCACAAGAACUUUUUAUACCAUAUGUUUGAUUGUAAGUGGUUCGACUUUUUAAAACAAAUUAAUAAAACAAAAUUCAUUACUUCAAAGGAAAUACUAACCAGUCUCAUGGGUGAUCCAAGUUUGAACCAGGAACUAAACAAUUUCACGGGCCCAUAUAUCUGCAUCUGACUCAACCACCGGGAAAGCAAUUACAUAUCUAAUGAGCUUCAUGGCGAGAGAGAGGAAGGUCAGAUGGAAGAGAAGAAAUCUUAGGGCUUUGAGGGAGAGAGAGAGAUCUCGAAAGAGAGCAGUAGGAGGCAAAACAAAAUGUUUUCAAGAAAAUUAAAAGAGUCUGUUUAACACCGAGGGUCGUCUCUUUCAUUUCUUCCAAUAUUUGAAUCCUAAAGAGUAUAAUUAGCGACUAUAAGGUUUUUUUUUUGUUCAAAUGAAUAUAACGUUAUAUAUGGAUUUUCAUGAUGUUAUUUGUGUGAUAUUGUUAGAUAUAGAUUCUCAUUUUUGGUGAAAUCGUUGCUAUAAUCAAGUCUUAUAUUACUAUUCCUAAGCCAGUUCAGCAGCUUUUUGCUCAAUUUCUUAAAUUUCUUAAUCUGAAUAAUAAUAAAUAUAAAGAGAUUUGCAAAUUGAAAAUUAUCACAUUAUGAAUAUUCACAGUCACAAACGGGUUGAUCUUAUUUUUGGUUAUUAUUACUAACCCAAUGGUAACAAAACAGACACGACAUGAGAAUCUUUCCUUUUCUUUUUAUUUGACUCUACUUCUUCGCAUUAAUGAGUACAAUUGGUCAACGGCACCAAGGUCAGGUCAUUAAUAAGUCCAUUCCUCCGGGAGAAGUUUCUCCAGCGAAUCAAAGGGAGUUUCCACCGUUUCGCUCUUCUUCUCCUUCUUCUUCGAAUCAUCUUCACGAAUUUCUACAUUGAAAUAGAAUUGAAAUAGAUUUUUUUAACAUGAUGUAUUCAAAUAGGUCAAACAAAUAAAAAGAAGGGAAAAUAAUUUAUUUUUUUGUCAUAAACAAACUGUAACAGCAAAACUGAAAACAUUAUGCACAUCUUUCAUUCAUAAGAAAAUAACCUGUCUUUUUGGUUGGCGGAUGCGAAGCGAUUCUGGGAAAAUAUACUCCAGUGCCAGAAGAUGCACGGCCCAAGGGAAAUGCUGGCAUUCGGUCCUCUCCUUUACUCAUUUGCCAAUUGUUUUGCUGCAUUUGCCUUGUAUUAUAGUUCUUCAUAACACAAAAAUACAUAAUACCAUUAGUUUUGAGUUUUUAAAAUAUUCACAAGAAAAAAUGUAACACAAAUUACAUUUGCAACUAAAGUAUAUAAAGAGCGUAGCCAGGCCGAACUUAAGCUUAAAAUCAUGAAGCUAAUGUUGUAAACGCCAAACGGUAUAAUAAAUUUUAAGGACUUUAGUUUUAUAAAAUCAUGAAGCUAAUGUUAUUGGACUCUACUAUUUCUAUCUUAGAAAUGGAGGAUACAAUACACAAAGUCACAUUUUAUAGGGGCAUGCAAUCGCCUUAUGCAUCAUAAUUUGACGGACUAGCGAUAUUUUCCUCUAAUCCAUAAAAGAUUGAAAUAAACAAUGUAUAAAAAUAUUGAAAAAAUCCUUAAAUUACCAAAUCUCUGAGAGGAGGUGCACCGGGUCGACGUAAUCCACCGCUGCCGAGGUGAUUGUGGUUCUUGACAGGAACCGACUUCUGCAACUGUAUUGGAGAAAAGAAGUUAAUGACGCUUUAUUUAUACAAAAUGAGAUCAAACUAACAUGACAUAAUCGAUUAGAAAAAAACUAAGAUAUGUGAUGAUAUAAACCUGAUGCUUGUGACCCAUAGUAUCUCCCAUUUUAAUCUUCGAUGAAGAAGAAAAGGACUAAAAGACGGGAGAAGAGAUUUGAUUUUGCCCAACUUCUAACCUGAAACUUAACUAUAUAUAUAUUAGUCACGAUGAGUUUGUAAAGUAAGGGAGAAGAGAUGACGAUAAAUUGUUUGGAAUGCUAAUUAUUAUUUCUUCAGAUUAUAUUAUAAGAUUUUUAAUGCCUCCAUUUAUUGUUUUUUUUUGUUUUUACUGAAAAUUACAUUUUUUUUGACAACAGAAAAAGGAAAAUUAUGAUUUGACUAUUUGGCUUCUUGACUUCAUUAUUAGGAGGAUGGAAUGAGAGUUACGUACCCUUUCAUUUCAAAUUUUCAAAACAAAACAAAAUAGUCAUAUAGUUUUACAUUAUAGAAAGUUUCUUGGUCAAUUAUUCCCUUAAACCGCAUGGUAAUCAUGUUGUAACGUUAACAUUAAUGGAACAUACUUGACUACUUUUCAUAUGACUUUUGACUACUAAAUUUUUUUAUCUUUACCUAUGACUCACACCAUUCAUAUGAAAGGCAUAGUAAUUAUAUGGUAACAUCAAUGUUAAUAAAAUCACCAUCUGUAACUUUUUACCUUAAAAUAUUCAGAAGUAUUUUAUAUAUAUUGUUUUGUUUAUCUGCAGAUAAAUUAGUAAUUUCAGUUGACAAAAUAAAAUUAUAUAGUUUAUAAGAAAGAUCAAGGAGAUCAUGUUGGGGGAGUGGGAUGAGUUGUAUUUGGGUAAACGCCUCUCUAAUAUUUAAUCACAUUGUUAUAUUUAAUGAUAUAGUUUAAGUUGUUCCGUACAAAUACCAUAACGGCUGUAAGUAAAGAAGGGCUUUACAUAAACUACAAAUUCGAAUUUCAUAGUUUGUUUUGUAACUUUGUUUUUCUUGCUAUAAACCAAUUCUACAGAGAACCUGUUAAAAACGUAUUUAAAUCCAAAACAAUAUUGCAACUAAUAUUCAGUGAGUAUAUCACCACACUUGUAACUUUUACAUUUAAAUUCCAACCAAGUUUUUGUUUAGUAAAGAAAAAUAUAUGAAUGUAUAAUAUUAGAUUUCUAUCUUUUUGUUUGCUUAGCUUUUUUUUCUUGUUAAUUUCAUCAUCGGAUUUCUUAUGAUUACUAACUAAAUAUGUCGUCUUGAUCUAAAAUUUAUAUAAAAAAAUAUGACAAACAAAAACAUUGAGAUGAUAUAAAUCAUAUCCAACCUUUUAUGGCAAAAAUGUAUUUAAAACUUUUUUUAAUCUAUAGUCGUCUACUAUCCCUGAUAUUGAAAGGGAGAGAAAAAAAAUGAUCAACGGUGCCAGUUCUUCUUAACAACCUUCACCAACCAACCCAAGUUAGAAAUUUUUGUGGUUAGAUUUUAUUAGUUUAUCUUAUUCUUACCCCAAGUGGGCUCAAUAUCAAAUUGUAAUCGUGAGAUUACGUGACCCUAUCUAGCAGAAAAUUUAGCGAGGCAUUAUUAGCAUAGACCAAACAUAGUUUUACAAUUAACAAUGUACUCAAAUUUAAAUAAAACGAAGAAUAAGAUCCCAACACAUCCAAGGUUUUAUGAAAACCUAAAUGUAGUUCACCUACGAGCUUGAAAAAGCUAGAAUGUCAUGUAAUACUUGGUGAAUAAUAGAGAACCGUGAAUAGGAUUGGAAAGCAGGUCAAACUCGCCCCACCACGGAUGAAGUAGUUAUUUUAAUUAUAUUUACUUAUUUUUAAAUAAUAAUAAAAGUUAUUUAUAAUUAAAAUAAUAUAAAUAUUUUAAUAAAAUUAGUUCAUUUUAAAUUACAUCUAACAAAUACCCAAUCCAAUAACAAUGAAUUCCACUUUAAAUUUAAAUUUAAAUUUAAAUUCCAUUAAAUUUCAUUGAACUCAUUAGUUCAAUAACAUCUCCUUAGGUUCCGUAAGAUUAUUAGUAGCCUAAACAAAUCGCAUCUCCUUAAGAUCCAUAAUAUCAUCCAGUCACAUACCCAAAUUUCUUCUCCUUCGGAUCCAUUUAUUUUAUUCACGAAACUUUAUUAGAUGUUACCUAUACAAAUCACAUUAGUUUUACUUUCUGCGUUUUAAAAUAAUGUACAUUUUGAAGUUUUUAUAUUUAUUAAGAAACACAUUAAAAUUCUGAUUAUAAAUGCAUUAUUUUGUAUGAUUAACUAUUUUGCACAACUAGACAAAAAUUAUGUUUAUAAAUGCAUUAUAAAUUAUUUUGUAGACAAAAAAAAUAAAAAAAUACAAUUACGUUUUUCUAAAUUUACAAUUUUUCAUUAUUACCUAAUCAAAUAUGCAUUGAAAUGUAAAAAAAAAUUAUUUUUGAAAUAAUAAUUUCUAUAACAUUGGUCAUUUUAAACCAGAUGGAGUAUCUGUUUUUGAUAGUUUUAAUUUAACUAUCACUUCAUGGAUUUAGGAUCAAUCAUCAUUUCUCGUAUUUUUUUUUUGGUAAACUAAACUGUUUCGGGAAAUUUUUAAUUUAUGUGCAAAGGAAAUUUAUUUUAUAUUGACUAUUGCCCACCGUAUACAGGCGACCUUUAAAAUCUUUUUUUUUUUUUUGUAACUUGCUUACUUAAAUUUAAAGAAAAGAUCCAAAAUGUUUUACAAGCCCAUUGGCUAUAGUUAUAACUCAUGCUUAGUAGAAUCACAUAAAGAGCCCUCUAAGAGCCCAAGAUAGAGUAAGGUAGAGCCCAGGAUAGAAGCCCAGUUGGUCUUUUCAGUUUACUCGAGUCUUUGAAAUCAUCGAAGUAUCAAGAGUGUCGAGGGUGAGUUGGGUGAAGCCGGUGAUGGUGAACAGAAUUCAGGCAAAGCGGAACCAGCUCUGCAUCAUGGUGGAAGAUCUGGCCGGGUUAGUGUUGCGGAAGCUCUGUAGCUUGUUUCUUAGUUGAGCAUCCAAGAGUCUAAAUAUCUGGUGAGUGGAGCGAAAGAUGUUCGAGUGUAGUCGUCCAUUCCUCUCAUUCCACAACCAGUAGAGAGUCGCUUGCCAUGCAAUGAGAGUUAACUUCCGUUGUGCUUCAGGCGGCGGGAGCGAUAGCAUUUGAUCGAAAGUGUCAUUCCAGAUCUUUAAAACCUUUCUUACAAAGACAUAGUACCACAGCAUUAAAAGAGAGUCGAGCAUGUGAUCUCUAACAAACGUUAGUGAAAAAAGGGACCACUAGAAUACAAACUCUUCUCAAAUAAGAUUGAACGGACGAGUCCGAAUAAGAUUAUUAACUUACUGUGUAUAUAUGACUCCGAAUCUUGGCAUAACCUUGUACUAAGUAAAAUUAAAUGAGUUAUGACUUAUAAAACAAUUUUUUUUUAGAUGAGAAAUUUUCUUUUAAAAUGAAAAAUAUAUAGUAUCAGUGUAGAAUUGGAAGCCGUAGCCAGUAAAACAAUGGGACGUAGAAAACACUCAUAAGCCAUACUAAAUCAUAGUUAUAUAUGUAAUUAUUGUAUGGCCUUUAUUGUAUUAAAUAUAAAAAUUGCUGACUUGAGUUUCCCAUCAUGUAGUCACCCAAAAUUGUUCCUGCUUCCAUUUAUGCAUGGUUUUAGGCUCACAUCCAUUUUCAUUGCAUCUCCUUCUCGGCCUUCUAAAUUUGUUAUUUCCGAUUUUACCCUCGUCCUCCUCCUCUGCAUCAUCUUCUAGUCCAUUCUCGUUGUCUUCAAACUGCUCAUUCCCAUCGUGGCUAAGUAAAGAACUCUCUGACAAACAGAGACGAAGCCUUCCUUCACAACGUUCAGAUACAAAGCAACGAGGCGGUGAGCAAACCCUAAUUGCUUGAACUACAAGACGACCAUCUUCUGUAUAAGAUUUCACCAUGCGGCUAUGGUUAAACCCUUUCACGGAUUUUAACGGCGGGGGAAAACUGUUUUCACGUACUUUAGGGUAAGUUUCUUCUCGUGGUGUUCUUUUAACAGGAAGCAUUGGUAUAUUGGUUGCUUCCAGCGCAAGCAACGAGAUCUCGUCUCCAGUUUCACUCCCACUCUCGGUACCGAGACUCUCUGUGCACAUCUCGAGGCUAAGUUUAGCUACGAACAGCUUCUGAUCAGUUGGGUGGACGUAAGACGUUUUCUUUGUUUGGUCUUCUCUGUUUCGGACAAUGCCUUUGGUUUCACAGAGAGAUUGCAGGAAACUCCAUCCACCCACGUCAGCGUUUUGGCUUAUCUGCUUCUUGAGAAGAUGGUCGUAAGCUUGGCCAACCACUGACAUGUUGUGAGAGUAAAAGAAAACAAAAACAGAGCGAAACAGAAAAACUGUGUGUGUGAGGGAGAGAAGGGGGCAAAGAUGAACGGGAGUACAAGGGAUGAGUGUGUAUUUAUAACGUGGACUAGACCUUAAGAUUUGGGAUUUGUUUUUAAUGAUUUCAAUUUAGUUUACUUUUAGGUGUAACCUAUAUAUACAAAUAAUAAAGUAUUUUAUCACUUCACUGGUUCUAAAACUAAUUUAAUUAUUUUCGCUAUUUGAAGAGCUUUUUUAUGUCAACGAAUUAUAAAAUUAAAUAGUGGCUAUUGAAAAAGUAUCAUCAAGUGUUUAAAUAUGCAUGAUGACUACUUCAUAUAGCUGGAAAACGAAUAUUCGUCAUAUUAUAAGCAAGAUAGCACCGUGCGAGUGGAGACUGACUGAAACCUAAUUGAAGAUUUCUUUGUAUUCUUUUCCAAACUACCUUAUUCUUUUCUGUCCAAUCAAAUCUUUACACCAAAUAGAACAUGAAAUCUUUCAACUGCUAAAGUAUGUUUGUUUGAAUACCGAUCGGCCCACGUACAUACAGUAAAAUGUAUUUUUAUAAAACUGUUCGUUUUUUAUGUGUACUAAUUUAUUGGAUAUUUGUAUCACACUUGAUCCUUCAAAAGAUUAGUAAGGUGUGUUGAAGUAUGUUUUUUUGUGGUUAUUGAACAAUAAGCAUAAGGUGUAUUGAAAUUUGUAUAUUAUUGUGUUCACUACUCUACGUGUAUCUAUAUGAUCUUGUUCUGCUAGACAAAGUAAUAUCAUGAGUUCAUGACCACAUAUUUUUCCUUUUUUUCUACAGUCAACCUUUUACAUUAGUAAUUAUAACAGAAAUAGAGAUCGAAUUAAUUAAGGAUACCUUAAAGUUUUAGUUUACUAACUCAUACCAAAACUACAAGUAGGAGAUCUGAUUAUUUUACCUAACUCUUAUUACACGUAUAUAUAUACAUUUAGUCAUUUACAUUAUCACAAUGUUGGAGAGCGAAUAAUACGAAGAACAACUGAACAACCCUAUUAGUACAUUUAAAAGUGGUAGUCAAUGAUAUGUUAAAUAAAGAGUUGAAUAAUAGAACAGUAGCUAUUAUAGAAAAAACACUAACAUAAGAAGAAGCUUUUAGUAUCAUCUAGUGGUGUUACUAUCAUGAAUAAUGAAAAGAAAAUAUUCUCAUCUUCUACAAUUAUAAUAGCUUUCUAUUUAAGUAAAAGAAACAACAGCCGACCAAUAAUAUUCUCGGUAGAUGCCAUAUUGUAAAAGAAGUAGUUCAUGCACCGACGUCUUUGAAGUUUAAAAUUGGACGUAGAUUGGAUUGGUGCUUUUAAACCACUGAUAAGAUGGUGGUUUUCUUUUCUAAAGCGACGAUGUUGAUUUUUGGAUAUAAUUGUAUUGAUAACAAGUUAGAACUGUUUUGCAAGAGAUACAACUGUAACUGACACAAGCUUCAUGGAACCAACAGAUUGACAUUUUCCACUUUGCAAUAUUCUGGUCCGAGGACAAAAAAUUGUGAAGGUAUAUAAAAUAUCAUGUAUAUAUAUAUUAUUCUUGAUUGGACAUGAAUACCAAACCUAAUAGUAUCAGAGUUCACAACUAUUCUUACGAACGGUGAUUAGAGUGAGUCAUGCAAGAAUCAAACAAACCUAACUAAGAUAUAUUAAUGCAAGACUUGAACAACAACCAACAAAUUUAAAACUUCAGAAUGUAAAUUUUCAGGGUUUGCAACAUCAAAUGUGUGAGAUGAGUAGUACAAUCACGAAACAAUGAUUUCAAAUACGAAUACAAAAAACGACUUAUGAAAAAUGUUUUCUGAUCGUGGCAAAAAAAGAAAAAUGUUUUCUGAUUUCCGAGUUUCUUGUUAUGUUUGAAUAUGUACUACUCGCAUGUAUGAUGAAAGAUCAAACACAUGUAUGUUCUCUAACGGCAACUAAUGUGUGACAUCUAAAGAAAGUGAUAUAUUGUUCUUAUUAAUGACGAUAAUGAAGAGGUUCUUGACCCGUACAUUCUCUUAGAACGAUGGCUAUGUCAUUUAAAUCUUCUGUGGGGAGAAUACUCUUUCCAAUAAUAUUUGAACAUGUGCUCUCUCAAAUAUCUACUAAGUUAUCUACGAAUUUAACCAAUAAGCCAACUUUUCAUUGGCGCAAUGGUUACAAAAUACGUCUCCUAUAUGGUUAUGAGCCUAGUGACAUUGGUACAUGCAUUGACGAUAAAUUAUAUAUUAGCAUAGUAUAUCUCAUUAACUUCAAACUAAUUAUUUUGAUUAACGGACAAAAGAAAUUUCUAAUUUAAGUGCAGUAUACUUUUUAAAGGCUACACAAACGACAGUUUUGGUGUUAAUUAAUGGUUUUAAAAUCUAAGUAAAAUUUGCCAAGAAAGUAGAAAGGUAAGACGAAUAUGUACCAUUUUAUCUGUCGACAAUGACCCAUAAACCAUUCGAAUGUCCCAUUUGCCAACCUCUACAUAUCUUUCGAGCUUUUUGCUACGAUUGGGGCUUGUCCAAACCAAUCAGAAGAGAAGAAGAAAGUAGAGAGGAUUCUUUUGCAUCAUCAACAUUCCACUGCUGACCUGAAAUGAUAAUGCAAGGGGAAAUCAAAAGUUAAGAUCCUUCACAUUUUUGAGUUAUUUUGUUAAGCCUUUAUUCAACUUUAUAAUCUUUAGUAGCAACAACGUAAGGUGGAAUCUCUUUCAUGUUUACACAAACAUGUCAACUGAGAAUAUUCUCAUCUCUAACUUUUGACUAUACUCAUCCCUUUGUUUCAUAACAAUUUUAAUUAAAGGAUUGUGCUAUCUAUCUUAUUAAAAUAGAAUCGUAUAAAAAUGAUCUUGUAUUUACAUGGUAUUAUGAAAAAUCUUACUAAUUUUUAACUAUGACUAGGAAUUUCAUUAGAUCGAUGUAGUUUGGUCAUUACUUACAAUUAGACUAUUUUAAUAGAAUGCACUAUUACACGUGAAAUUAAUAUAAUAAAAAUCAGCCAAAAAUAAUUUUUUUUUUUUUUCGAAACACAGAGGCAAUCAUCAGCUAUCAGCAAAGAAAAAAAACAUGAGGAAACAAGUACAAUUAGAUGAUAACCUUUGUCUGAACAAAGUGGCUUAGGUCUGUACACUGGAACCAUGCAAAUAUCGUUGAUAAAACUACAAAUUUGUCUGGAACAUCCAGAUUUUGAAUUCGAACCCUAUUAUAGGGAACUACUGCACGAUUGUCUCUGAACAUUUUAUAUGGAUAUGAGCUUUUUCUUUCGGUCUAUUUGUAAAUCCAGUGCGCGAAUAUAUCAUGUGUCCCAAAAAAAUUAGUUUGUGUAUGUUUGCACAUAGGAUCUACUCAUGACUCCUGAGUUAUAAAAAAGCUACAAAAUAAAGAAAAAGCAAUACUUAUUCUGUUUUUUUAUUGUAAGUAGUUUAAGUAAAAUUUGAUUGUUUAAAAAUAUAAAUAGUUUUCAUAAUUUUAAGUAACUUUUACUUUUAUUAGGUAUAGUGUGAUCAAUCAAAUAAUAUAUAUUUAUUUAUGAUUAAUUUAACUACACCUAAUAUAUCUAUCAAAUGCUACUUUUGAAAAAAAUUAAUAACUUUGUUAAUAUUUGUAGAUUCAUCUAAAACUACCUAGAAAAAAACAGAGCGAGUAAAACAUAAACAUGUAAUACCCAUUUAGCUUUCAUAUGUACGAAUGCUAUGUCACGGGCUUUCUUUCACACUUUGGGUUUUACAAAUUAGGCUUCUGGUAUGUUGGACUAGGCCGAGAAUAUAAAAGGGUUGAUUUGAUAUGAAUCUACCUAUAUAUGCCAAGUCCAAAAGAAAACAAAAAUCAAAUUAACAAAUAAGCUCUUCAGUAUAGUUAUCAAGACCUACGUCGAAUUAACAAAUAACUUAAGUCUAGUAGUUAAGAAGAUCAACUGAUUUGGGGUUUAAUUUUUCAGUAAAUACAGAUUAUGCAUAUUAAUAGAUGUAAAACCUGUCAAGAGUUUUAGAGCAGUACAAUUAAAGUCGUAUGCCGUGAUUUCAUGUAUUAUGAAGAAAAAAACUGUUGAAAUAUUAAAAGGAAAAUUGUUUUUUUAGACCAAAAAACAUGUAUAUUGAUUGUCCCAUUAGGCCAAUUCCAAAAGUGUAAUUGUCUCCUUAGGCUAAUAUUUUUCUAAUUGCCUAUUAUAUUUCUAAAUUAACUUAAUUAAAAUUUUAAACAAAUUAACUUAGUAUAUUAUAUAUGUUAAAAAAUAAAGAAAUUAAAUAGAAAAGGGGUAACAGAAUAUUCCGAAUUCGAUUUUUAGAUUUUUCUUUUUGAAAAUUCAUUUUUUUCAAAAAUGAUGAUAACAUAAUAUUUCCCAACAUUUCAUAAAUAUAUUUUUCAUAUUUUCAGAACUGUUCGUACUUAUCCGUAGAAUCUGCAUUCUACUAUGUGUAGAAUACAUAUAAACCGUUUUAAUUUUAUUUUGAGAGGUUUUAAAUUUUGAGUAAUAUAUAGAUUGUUGGUUCUACAUAUUUUAGAAUGUAAAGUGUAGAAUGUGUAUUCUAAAUAUUGUAGAUUAUUGUUAUUUUCGAAGAUCUUUUAUUCUAAUCUUAAUAUAUUUAAUAAAAAAUAUGGAUGACAUAUUCUAAUCAUACUAGAUCUAAUGAAAAACGUGGAUUUCAUUUUUCACUUUGUAGAAUGUACAUUCUACAGUCCGUCGAAAGGAAUCUGAAAAAAAAAUUAAUCUUUUUAGAAAAAAAAAAAUCUAUAGGUAUUUACAAUGCAUUCCUAUUUUCCUAUUUUUUUUGUUUCUAAAACUAUUUAUUUGGUUUAUUUUUAUAAAUAUAGAAACGGCAUUAUAGGUAUAAAAAAAUUGUAUAAAUUUGAGAUUAGCCUAGCGGACAAUGUACCUGUUUUUUUUGUCUAAAAAACGAUUUUCCCAAUAUUAAAUUUAUCUAUCGAAAUCCAAAACAUAGAACCAAAAGAGACUGAAGAAGCUAAAGGAGCUCAAACUCAAAAUCUUCAGUACAGGUUUUAAAACAAAGAGAUGAGCCAUCACGCUUCAGGUAUAUAUAUGUGCGAUAUUUCGUCUUCUUCGCCCGCUGGCCACUUCCUUGUUUAGAUUGUGAAUGUCUUUAUGAAUAGUUCUUGCUAUAAAUAAAGUUGAAUUUGAUGGACUAUGAUGGCGACAUCCAUUCCAAUCUCCAUAUCCAAUAAAAAAAAAUUGUUUGGAAAACUAUUUUUGUGAGUAGAGCGCGCAUCGUACUUUGGAAGUCUGUUGCAGUUGAUAUGAGUGCGAGUGUUUGUCCAGUCCGGAUUGAUACAUUUAUAUAUGCCAAGAAAGUUCUGCUACCUGGCAGCAAUGCCUAAAUUGUGAAUGAGAAUGCACAUGAAAAAGGUGAUUAUGGGUUUCAUUUGGAUCGCCAUACAAUAGACAUAUAUAUGUCUAACCCACUGUGUCUCAUGUGAUCCCCUGUGUCUAAUCUAUUACAACAAGCUAACCAUGUGAUGAAAGCUUGGCAUGGGAUCAGAACCGGAUAUGAGAAUUUGGAAGAGAUAAACAUUUUUUUACUUUUAUAAAAAAAAAGAAUUCAUAAUUUGGAAGCCUAUGCUCAUGUUAAAAGCCUAGAAAAGAAUUUGGAAGCCAAAGUCCUGCUCUGCGUGAGACCGAUUGAGGGAACUAAACAAUGCUUUGUCAGUCCACAUUAUGUUGAAUCAUUAUUUUUUUGGUCCUAAGUACUUCUCAUUGAGAAUUUUGAUCACUUUUGCCAUGUCUUUGCCUCCAAAGAGGUUCCAAGAGCCCGGAUUUAGACCCAAGAUCUGCCUGAUGAAAUUUAUAAAUUCAUGAAUUAACUGCCCACUACGUUUUAAAAAUUUCUAUCCCCUUGCACCAGUAGCUUCUGCAACUUUAGAUUUUAUGUCUUGCCCUGAUUUAUGAAUGGUUUAUCAAAAAAAAAAAAAAAAAACUUUAGAUUUUCUGUCAAUUCCCAACAUUCUAAUUCCAACUUCACAAAUAGUACGAAUUAGGGAUUUUGAGCCAUUUGUAAUCUCAACUUUGAAGAAAAUUUCCGCUAGUAGUCUUAGCUUUAAAAGUUUUUUUUCACAUCUAAGAUCCUCCAGUAGUCUUUUCAAAAUGUCAUAAAUCGACCAGUCAAUUAGUGUUUGACCCAGGAAAACCCAUAAUAAAUCCGAUGUAAUAAUAAAAUCUAUGUACCCUGUAAUUUUUGAAUCCUGAAACUCCCUUCUUUCUUAGGACACUCAAGUCUGACCAUGCCACCUUAGCUUUGGUAGAUACAUUUGACGCCCCAAACAAGAGAAAAGCCAAAAACAUUUUCUCAAUGUGAUCAAGACAUCGCUUAGGACAAUGAAAAGUUGAACAUCAAAAGUCGGUGGUAUCCACUGAUUUAAUAAGCUGAAGACAACCUCCAUACAAAGUGAGCUGUUUGACCACUUAAGAAGCCAGGAGUGUAUCUUGUCAAUAUAAUGUUUAUAAUCAAGCUGGGUCAUAUUGGCAAAUCCUAAGUGUCGAAUGGAAAACAUAUUUAAAAUAAUUAGAUGUAUGUAGACUGUUUAUUGUAAAGCUUUGUGUUGCUAAAAAAUAUAUAUAUAUAUACUUUGGGUUGCUAAAUAAAUAAAUAAAUAUAUAUAUAUAUAUAUAUAUAUUUAACAUCUUGUCAAACUACUCAUCAUAGUUAUAUAUGCUACAACUAAUGAAAUUUGAUCAAUUGAUCAUCAUUUUUUAUAAAUUUAUACAAAAUACUAUUUUUCUGAUAAAAUUUUCAGUCUUUCAAAAAUCUGGAUUUUAUUUUUGUCAUAAGUUAUAUCCUUUCAACUUUGACUUCUUAUAUAGAUGACAAAAAAACCAAUUUAUAUUAAAAUAGUGAUUACUUUUUUUUGUCAUCAAUAGUGAUUAUUAUUUCUACAUAUAUAUAUAUUAACUAUAGAUUUAAAUAUAUAUGUUUAUGCAAUGUUUGAUAAAUAUCAUUUAUUUAUAAUAAAUUAAUUAUAGAAAAUGCACUUUUGUUGAUAAUUCAUAUAUGUGAAUUAUUCGCAAUCUCUAAAUUAAAAUUUUCUAAUAAACUAUUUUAUUGAGACAAAAAUUUAAUUUAUAAUAUUUUAAGUUUUUAACGGUGUAAUGUUUAAAAUAGAUUUUGUCAGAUUUAAAGAAGGUUAAUCCAAACUAGUCAUGAAGGAACGAAACAAUUUUAAAUUGUCAGUUUUUUCCAACUUAUCAGAUGGAUAUUGUCUUUUUCGAUAUUGUUUGUCUUUUUAAUAUUUUCCCAAAAAGAUUAGAUAGGCUAUUUUCAAUUUAUUUUCAUAUUAUUUUAUCAUUUUUGAUAGACUUGAUUGAAUAAAAGAAAUUUUAGACAAAAGUUAUAUAUAUAUAUCAUUUCUUAAAAGUUAAUCUCAUUGUUUAUCAUAAAUUUCUUACCCCUAAAUUGGGUCACCAACAUAUAGUAUUUUUACAAUUUAAUAAUGAGGUUGCCAAAAGAAAAUUCCGUUUUGAACAUCUAAUCUAUGUAUAAAUAUUCAAAAUGUAAAAACUUUUUAUAUUGUUAUUAUCUUAUGCUUUGUCCAUUUAAUGUUCAUUAAUCAAAGUCGAGGACCGUAUGCGUAUGCUGAGGCUUCUUUACAGCGAUCAUUUAGAACACUUUUUUUUUGGACAACUGAUCAUUUAGAACACUUAACAUGCAGUAUAACUGCUCCAAGAAGUGCUCUCCCGUGGCGGUGCCGGGAUUGUAGAGGACCCGAAUAUUUAGAGGAUUGUGUAUAUUUUAUUUAAAUUAAUGUGUGUUGAAAUUAUAUGACUAUUAUAUUAGUUUUGAUGUCGUAACUAUUAUUUUUUAAACAUAUUCAGUGAGUAGAUCAAUAUGUGAUUAUUAUAAAGAGUAUCGUAUAACUGCAUAUAUAUAUAUACAUUUUACCAAUAUAUGAUAAACAAAUGUAAUUUAGUAGCCUUUUCAAAUUUAAUUUAAUGAUUAGUAAGUUUAUGACAAAAAGGAUUAGUAAGAUUAUGAUUUGUUAUAUACAGCUGUAUUUUCACUUACAAUGGAGAUACAUUAUCUGACAUAACUGAAAACUAUACGUGUUGUGUAACAAAUGCAAGAAAAUAUUCAACUCUGUUUGAAUAAUGUUAAUUACUAACCUUAGAAAUCCAAUUUAACGAUAAGAUUUGUUCUGCUAAUAAUAUAGCUGUAUUUUCAUUUAUCAUGAAAAAAUAUCAUAAGUGGCAAACUAAAAAUUAUUCGUGUCGUGUAACAAAAAAAAAAGAUAAAGAAGGAUUCAAUUAUAGUAUCUGAGCAUAUGGUAUUUAUUUGGAUAAUUUUGACUAAUAACCUUUUGAAAUCUAAUUUGAUGAUUAGUAAGAUUAUGUUUUUUAUAUAUAGCUGUAUUUUAUAUAUAAUGAAAAUACCAUAUGAAAAUUAUACGCAUCGUGUAACGAAAAAGAAGAAAAGAAAUUAAUAAGAUUCCAUUAUAUUCGAAUAACUUGAUUCAAAAUUCAAAUAGUACAAGGAUAAUGCAAUAACUACACGUGUAGUAUCAUCUUGUAUAGCUCUUAUGAUUUCCACUUUAUCCUAAAUUAAUACUACAAAAUGAUGUAAUCCAUCAAAAAAUGAAAAAAAAAAUAAUGAGAAACAAAUAUUACAAGAAUUGAAAAGGAGAAACUCGUGAAGUUUACCUUUGUCACGAGAUAAAUACCACUUAGAAAUAAAUAUAUUGCAAUAUGCCUUGUCACAAAACCGAUCAACAUAAAUGAUUCGUUACCUGAAACUAUUAUUUUGUAAAAAUAGUAUGUCUGUAUCUGACGUGCAUCAUAUAUGAUAUGAUUCAGAGGAUUGCAUGUAAGCCAUCGUAUGUGUACUUGGUUUCGAAGAUAACGGCCUGUGCCAUAUCUUUUCUUUUAAAGUAAAUUCAAUUUUCAGAUGGAUACAAGAGAAUGAGAAUUAGAAGAAAAAGCCAAAUAUGCCCUUCAAAUCCAUAGCUAUGGAAGGAAAAUAAUCCCACAGAAACACAUUCCAUGCAUCCAAUCUCUCUCUUCUUUCUCUCUCAAGAGUACAGUCAGAUACAAUCUCUGAUGGGAAGUCGGUUCUGUCGUUAUAUAAUCCCAUUAAAUUUAUUUUCUCUCUCACCAGUUCUCAUCUUUCUCUCUCUAGUUUCACAAUCUCUCUUCUUCACUAAGUCUUUGAUAAAAACAGAGAGGAGGAGAAAAAGGCUUCUAACUUCUAAGCCAUGUCUCUACAAUACUAUGCUCUUAACUCUAUUCAAAGUAACAACUUGUUCAGUACUAAAACAACAGUUUCUCCUUCUAGUUCUUCUCUCUCUUCUUAUGUCCUUAAGAUCUCAGGUGCGUGAUCUUCUCUCCUCUGUCUCCAUCUGUCUUAUCAAACACACACGAUCCCGAAAACAGAGUCUUUCACUAACAUGUUUUGCUAUGUCUGUAAACGAAAUUCUCUUGUGGGUUUGAUGAUGAUCAGUUCUUUAACUGAGUUUUGGAUGAAAAAGAAUUUGUUUCUUUUUGUUAUUUUGUUUUCGGUUUUUUAUUUUCCCUAGAGAACAAAACAAAGAAACAGAGUGAUGACUCUGUUUAUAUGUUCUCUCAGUACCCACGCGUGAGAUAUAUUUCAUCAUCAUCAAUGUCUCUCUAUGUCUCUCUUUUCGUUUUAUUUUCUCGUUCUUCCAAACAUUUUAUAAUCAUUAAUCACUCUUCGUUUAUUUUUUCUUCAUUUCCCAAUAAUUCUAUUUUUGUUUAUGUCUGAUUUUGAACUUGUUUUUUUAUUUUUACUUUCUGAACGAAUGUCUUCUCCUAAUUCGAUGCAAAAUCAGACUAUGACCACAACAAUCUAUAGUUAGUACGUGGAAACAUUUUAAGCCUACAUUUAUAAUAAAAUGAGACUAUAAGAUACUACUCCCUCCGUUCGAAAUUAUUAGACGUUUUAGAGAUUUUCUUUUGUCUCAUAAUACUUGACGUUCACAAAGUCCUAGGUAAAAAAAGAUAACAUAUGACUUUUUCUACCCUUGCAAUUAAUGAUCUCUAGUGAUAAUGAUAUGAAGUCAAUUGAAAAUAAAACAUAAAUGAAAGGUUAAAAUAGAUAUUAUAGCAACAUUCUUAAUUUAUGUGCCAGUUUCUAAAACGUCAUAUAAAUCCGAACGGAGGGAGUAUCAGUUUGAAUUUAUUAUUAGAGAAGUACGUUUAGAGAAUCUAGUUCUCAUUAUUAGCGAGUGGAUUGACCUCGUAUCGUAGCUUAUAAUAAUUUAAUGUUUGUUUGACCACGGACAAAAAAUUAGUGAUUAUUAUUUAUUUAUUUCUCUAUAGUUAGCAAAUUACUCAUUCUCUUGUCAGUGUUAUAUUUAAAUUUUGUUUUUGAUAGGAUCACCGCUAAGUUUGGGGAGCGACAAACCCAGAAGCUGCUCCAUAUAUUGUACAAAACUUCGAACUCAAGGUCUAAUUUAAUUUCAAAAUUAAGUAGUAGUUUACAUCUAUUCCCUUUAUUUUGUUUUCCAUAUAAAAUUUCAAUGUUUCUGUGCAGAAUACCCUAAAUCUCACGAAAUUCAACAUGAUAUACCUCUAAUACAGUGGCAACAGCUUCAAGGAGAUGCUCCUCAGGUGAUUUUUAAAUAUAUAUUGUCAAUUUUAAAAGGCUGUUAUUUGUUAUAAUUAUUUUCUUGUCAAUAAUAUUCACCAAAAAUAUCCUCAUUUAUAAAUACAUUCACUCUUCCUUUUACCUUGAUUUAUACAUUUUCCCCCGGAAUCUAUACUUUAUAUUCCAUCAAAAAUAGUUAUUUUAUCAUUGUAUGUUUACAUUAAAGGUACCAACCACAUUUAAUUUCAAUUGUUGUUAUGAUUAUAUGCGCUGAUUAUAAUUUCGUGCAUUUUGAAUAAUAGACUUUUUUUUUGAAUAAUAGAUUAGUGUUGGAAGUAAUGAUAUUGCAAUCGAAGAAGCAGUGAAAAGAGUGAAGUCCAUUUUAAAAAACUUAAGUGACGGUGAAAUUACGAUAUCGGCAUAUGACACUGCUUGGGUUGCUUUGAUCGACGCCGGAGAUAAAACUCCGGCAUUUCCCUCCGCCGUGAAAUGGAUAGCCAACAAUCAGCUAUCCGAUGGUUCAUGGGGUGAUGCCUACCUCUUCUCUUAUCAUGACCGUCUCAUCAACACACUUGCCUGCGUCGUUGCUCUAACAUCAUGGAAUCUCUUUCCUCAUCAAUGCCACAAAGGUAAUUUAUUUUUAUUUGCAAAAAAAAAUUAGGAAACAUGAAAGAAUAUCUCGACUUUCUGCAAAAAAAACGCAAAUCCUUUUUUAUAGUGGGCUGAAAAGAAAGUAUACAUUGUUUUAUAGUUAUGAGUUAGACCAUCAAUCUUCUUUCUUUUUUCCGAAUGAAAAACAUCAAUCUUCUUUUUAAAAAGUUUCAAAUCUUUUUCCAAUAGCCAUUCAAACUAAUAUAUACAUAUAUAUAGGUUAAAAGAAACGUAUCCUUUUUCCUUGUUAUUGUUUGAUAUGGACUAAUUUUAAAUUAUUUUGAAGUAUUAAUUACUAGUUACCUGUACAGGAAUCAUGUUUUUUAGAGAAAAUAUCGGAAAGCUAGAAGAAGAAGACGAUGAGCAUAUGCCUAUUGGAUUCGAAGUAGCCUUUCCUUCAUUACUUGAGAUAGCUCGAGGAAUAAACAUAGAUGUACCGUACGAUUCUCCGGUCUUGAAGGAUAUAUACGCCAAGAAGGAGCUAAAGCUAACAAGGUUUGUGUGUUGGGCCAAAAAUAUACAAUUUGAAAUAUUCUAUUUUUAUAUAAACAUUUUCGAAAGUAUUUAUAUACGAGUCCAAUGUAGGUCACUUAAAACCAAAAAGAAUUAUACGAUAUAAUAUUUGCAUACGUAUUAUAAGAUAUCUAUAUAUAUAUAUAUAUAUAUAUAUAUAUAUUGACUAAGAUGUGAAUUAAAUUUGGGCGUACGUUGAAAUCUUUAUAGGAUACCCAAAGAGAUAAUGCACAAGAUACCAACAACAUUGUUGCAUAGUUUGGAGGGCAUGCGUGAUAUAGAAUGGGAAAAGCUAUUGAAACUUCAGUGUCAAGAUGGAUCUUUCCUCUUCUCUCCUUCCUCGACCGCUUUCGCAUUCAUGCAGACCCGAGACAGUAAGUGUCUUGGGUAUUUGCGCAAUGCCGUCAAACGUUUCAAUGGAGGAGGUUUGUUAUCUAGUAACCGUGUCUACUCAUAUAUUUUUGUCUACUAGCAUUCAUGUGUAUAUAUGGCAAUGUAUAACAUCUACUUUUCACUAAUAAACUGUUAUAAUUAUAUUUUCAGUUCCCAAUGUAUUUCCUGUGGAUCUUUUCGAGCACAUAUGGAUCGUGGAUCGCCUACAACGGUUAGGGAUAUCGAGAUACUUUGAAGAAGAGAUUAAAGAGUGUCUUGACUAUGUUCACAGGUUAGAAAAAACGUUAUUUUAAUACUCCCUCUGUUUUCAAAUGUAGGUAGUUUUAGCAAAAAGAGUUUGUUUCACAAUAUAAGUAGUUUACAUAUUUCAAUGCACCUUUUUCAUUUAUUAGAUAUUGUGUGACCAAUAAAAUAAUGUUAAGCUUUUUAUAAUUGGUUGAAUUAAUUGAUUAAAUGAUAUAUUUUUUUAGAUAACAACUUUCUAAAUAUUUGUACUUUUAAGUAAAACUACUUAUAAUUAAAAACAGAGGGAGUAUUAACUUCAUUUGUAUACCAAAGUAGUUUUACUCUAAUGAUGAUGAUGAUAAAAUAUCAGAUAUUGGACAGACAAAGGCAUAUGUUGGGCUAGAUGUUCCCAUGUCCAAGAUAUCGACGAUACAGCCAUGGCAUUUAGGCUCUUAAGACUUAAUGGAUACAAAGUUUCCGCGGGUAAAAAAUAAUAUUUGUUUUUUGGUAAUAUAUUUUAACAAAGUUAAAAGUAUAAUAUCUAGUUCAAUUUUAGAUGUGUUCAAGGUCUUCGAGAAAGAAGGAGAGUUUUUCUGCUUCGCGGGCCAAUCAAACCAGGCGGUGACUGGUAUGUUCAAUCUAUACCGGGCAUCGCAAUUAGCGUUUCCAAGGGAAGAUAUAUUGAUAAACGCCAAAGAAUUUUCGUCCAAGUAUCUACAACAUAAACAAGAGAAAGGAGAGUUGCUUGAUAAGUGGAUUAUAAUGAAAGACUUACCUGGCGAGGUACUUUACAUGUACAAUAAGACCAGAAACACACAAAUUACAAAUGGUUCCAAAAAACAUUACAUCUGCACUUACGCACUGCAUACCACUUUGGGGUCAUCUGAUGGAGAAGGAAAACGACAAAGCGUGUUUGACUCUUUUUUGCUUAUUUUUGUUUUCUAUUUUGCAUGUUAGAUUGGGUUCGCGUUGGAGGUUCCAUGGUAUGCAAGCUUGCCUCGAGUGGAGACGAGAUUCUAUAUUGAGCAGUAUGGUGGAGAAAACGACGUUUGGAUUGGCAAGACCCUUUAUAGGUACUUUUUAUUUUUCAUAUUUAUUAUUAUGUUGCAUUGUCCAAUGAAUGCAAAACAAAUGCAUUGCACUAGCUGUUAUAAUGCAUGCAUGAGCUGACCACGUAUGCGUUAAGAUAAGGCCAUUAUGGUCAUUUAGUUUGGUAAAAUACGUAGGUGAUUUUAAUCUGGAUGAAUCAAAUCAAUUGUAAAUACCUAACUUGAACCGAAUGGAAUGUGGAGUGUUUUUUCUGCGUUUAACAAGAACUGCGGGUAGUUGUAACACUUUUUUUUGCAAUUGCAAGUGUAUUAAUUAUAAAGUUAAUUGAUAUACUAAUAAUGCUGGUGGACGAUGUAGGAUGCCAUAUGUGAACAAUAAUGAAUAUCUGGAAUUAGCAAAACAAGACUACAACAACUGCCAAGCUCUGCAUCAACUCGAAUGGGACACUUUCCAAAAGUAAUAUCGUCUCCACUCUUCAUUUUUUCAAUAAUCAUGGCUUUUAGUUGUUGCGUUUUUUAUUUCUAAACUUUUAGGAAACUUUUAUGCAAGUGGUUUAGGGAGAUCUAAUAAAAACUUUGUGAUAUUUCCGAAAAACAGACAAGUAUUAUUUUCUUAUAACAUUUCUAAAUGAAUUAGCUAAAUGGUGUUUUAUUUAUUUCAUAUGAGCAAAAUCACAACCUUUUUCGUGACAAAGUCGCAACUUUUAUUUAGCACUAGCAAGUUUAUCGAUGCUUUAAUUACUUUAUUCUUUUUGUAUUUUUAAAAGCAAAAAUAAAACACUCCGUUUUACUAAGUAUUCGGUUAAUAAAUGAUGAAACCAAUUAUUUAUCUUUUUGAUCAAUAAACCAAUUAUUUAUCUCAAACUGGAAUAGUGUAUAUAUACCCGUAUAUAUAUAUAUAUAUUUAUUUAUUUCCAUAGUGUCUGGAAAGAAAAAACUUUGGUUCCAGUUAAACCGUAUCUUUAAGUUUAUAUUUUUUCUCUAUAUAAGAACUAAUUUUAAAAUCAAUUUGUACGCAGGUGGUAUGAAGAAAAUUGGUUAAGUGUGUGGGGUGUGAGUAGAAGCGAGCUUCUAGAGUGCUAUUACCUAGCGGCUGCGACUAUCUUUGAGGCAGAGAGGUCACAUGAGAGAAUGGUUUGGGCUAAAUCAAGUGUAUUGGUUAAAGCCAUUUUUUCCUCUUUUGGUGAAUCCUCUGACUCAAGAAGGAGCUUCUUCGAUCAAUUUCGUAACUAUAUUGCCAAUGCUCGACAAAGUGAUCCUUACUUCAAUAACAGGUAAAUUACUCUUAUGUUUUCUGAUACAUAAAUUGAAGUUGGGAAAAUUAUGGAAAAUAACACCAAACAAAGUUUUGAUUACAAAAAGUAAAAUAUCCCACGUACAGCUAGUCAGCUACCAUAAUUUUAUUAUCAAAAUGACUAAAAUACUUUUUAAAGGAAUUUUUAAUCAAAUAAAGAAACUAAAAUCAAAAGUUUUUAAUUUAGUUAAAAAUAACUUAAAAUAUCAAUAUUAACGUAAUAUUUCUGUUAUCUUAGAAAUCUGCUACCAUAAUUUCAUUAUCAAAAUGACUAAAAUACUUUUUUUUUAAUUCUAUACAGAAACGAAAAUCAAAAGUUUUUAAUUUAGUUAAAAAUGAUUUAAAACAUCAAUACUAACGUAAUAUUUUUGAUAUCUUAGAAAUUUAAAUUUAUCAUGAGUCUUUUUUUGUCAACAAUUUAUCAUGAGUUUUUUAUCUAAAAUUUAUGCUAUUUUAGAAUAGUUAUCUUGUAAUUUUUUUGAGUUAAAAAAAGAAUUUGGAAAGGCCAGUUUUCAAAAAAAAAAAAGAGCUUUGUAGCAAUAAAUUUGAUUUAUGUCCCACCUAUUGGUUUUACGGAUUUUGCCUUUGCAACCCUUCACCAUCAAUUAUUUUGUCCAUCUACUAACUCGCAAGCUCCUAGCAUUUAAAUCUAUAAAUCUGUUUAGGUCCCACCUAUUGGUUUUAGUUUAACCCUAAUUGAACGGCUGUUUGUUUUGUUUCUGCUAUUUGUUUAUUUUGCGAAAACACUGUUGGUUUCGCGGCAGAAAACACCAGGCUGUCUCCAUUUAAUUAUAUGUGAAGGAUAAGUUCAUUUGACCUAAUAUCUUCUUUUUUAAACCUGAGAUUAAAAAAAACUGUUAGUUUCAUCGAACUGAUGAUGUGCAGACAAAACUUUCAUUUUAUACGGCAUUUUUUUGCCAGUAUAAUUCUGUCCGAAAGUAUUUUUUUGUAUUGGUUAAGAUAAGAGAACAACUCUCUUCCAAUAAAAACCAGAUUUGGUGACGUUAUAAUAAAAAUCUGGAGGCUGUGUAAAAUGGAAGUUCCCUUACGUACAAAGUAAAAGCUGGAUUUAUAUACGUGUGUGUUUUUAAUUUUAUAUAUUUGAUUUUCAUACAUAAACAAAGUCAAAAUAAAAAGAAAGCUCUAGUAGUAUCAGUUGAUUGACUAAUUUGUCUAUACUAUAAUAAUGCAUGGUGGACAUGAAAAAUAGGAGUAUAAGAUUGGACCGACCAGGAUCGGUUCAGGCGAGUGGGCUUGUCGGAAUCUUAAUCAGAACUUUGAAUCAGAUAUCGUUUGAUCAUUACAUGUCUCAUGGUCGUGACGUUAUCAGUAUCCUCUAUCAAUCGGUACGUUUCUAUCUUAUUUUUUUCUUCCUCUCACGUUUAUAUUUUUUUGCUUACGAAUAUUUAACAAAUAAAUACGUAGAUAACAUACAUAAAAUAAGUCACAGCGGUAAUUAUAAGAAAACGGAUUUGAAUGUAGAGCGUUAUUUUCUAUAGUAAAUAGUAAAUAGUUAGCUGAUGUGUUGAAUAUUAAAAGUUUGGAACGAAAUUGAUUUUUUGUUUUUUCUCUUGUCGGGAAUAUUGUUUAUAAAAUUAGGGUUUCGGAUAAUAUUUUUACUAAACUUGUGUAGCUGAAAUUUCAUGGUGCUUUUAAAAUAUUAAAAAUAAUAAAAAGUUCGAAACAUGUAGAAGGUGUAUAUCGUUCUAAAUAUAUACUUGUAUGAGUAUGUUUAUUAAUGUUUUUUAUAGUGGGGAGAAUGGCUGGAGAAAUGGAAAUUAGACGGAAAUGAAGGACAUGGAGAGCUCCUGGUGAAGAUGAUAAUUCUAAUGAAGAACAAUGACCUAACUAACUUAUUCACUCAUCCUCGCUUUGUUCGUCUCUCAGAAAUCAUCAACCGAAUCAAUCUUAUUGCCCAAUACCUAAAGGUUAGUAAUUUUUUUCUGGUCAUAUAAAUUACAAAACAUUAUUCAAAUAAUCAUGACUGGUCUCUCUAAUGCAGAAGUCGCGUCAUAAAAAAACUAAUUCAUUUUAAUUGGUUUUGUGUUGAUACAAAAAUAAACCUCAAAAUAUCCUCCAUAAUUCAUCUCUAAAUCUGAUGUCCAAGUCCAUAACUUCUUUAGCAUGUGUUUUGGACCAGGCCUGCAAAUACUCGAUAAUGAUUGUUCCAUUCGAUGUUACAACUACUUCGAGUCUAGUCACCAGAUCAUACCUCUAACAUAUGUAUAUGUCUUACUGCAGACAAUGAGAAACGAUAAGAAAGAGACGACAAUAGAGAGAAUGGAGUAUGAGAUGGAGCAAAUGGUUGAGUUAGUAUUGUUGGAGGUUGACACACUCCGUGAUGUCAGCAUCACGUUUCUCGAUGUUGCUAAAACUUUUUACUAUUCUGCUUCAUGUGGUGAUCAUCUCCAAACUCACAUGGACAAAAUCUUGUUUCAAAAAGUUCUAUAACCUUAUCAAUAUCGAUCCAUGCCGGUUGUAUUUAAUUACGUAAUCAAUGGAUAGUCGAUUCAUGAAUCGAUUGUUUUUUGUAUAUAUGGAUAUGUGGAGAAUGAGAAUAAAUUAAAUCAUGUACAAGUCAAACCUUGGAGUAGUUAUUAGCUUCUAUUGGAGAGAAAAUCCCACAUUGGAAAUAUGGAAAUAACAUGAAUAGUAUAUAAGGGAUUUGGGUCAAUCCACUAAUUGUCAAUUGGUUUUAAGUUUGAAGCCUAUGAAAUUUAUCAUGAUAUAUUCUCUCCAAUAAUCUUUUCUAUAGAUAAUGAACCCUCCGGAAAACAACUUCUUGUUCAAGAUGAAAUCAGUAUAUGAACAUCGACAUAUAUCAUGUAGACUCUCUAUGAUGCAAGUCAUUCAUUUUCUUUCGUCAACUCUAGGCUUUGGAACAAUCGUCUUUCUUCUUCUUUACAUUUGAUGGUGCAGAUCGAGGUUUGAACCGUGUGCAUGUUGAAAACGCGGACACUCCUAACCAUUUAGGUCACUAAGGAUUUGGCCAGAACGAAUUUUAAUAAUACUAGAGUCUUUGUCCGCGCUACGCGCGAAAAAUGGGGGUUGAAGAAAUUAUUAAGUAACGUUUUUUAAUAUUAUUAAGAAUUUAUUUGCUAAGUUCAAUUAUGUUUUGUUUGGAAGUUGACAUUUUCUAUAAGUUUUUGACAUAGUUGGAUGGAUUAAAAUGUCAGGAAAUAGAUGAUAAUAAAUUAGUUUAAAGGAAGAAAAACAGAUGAGAAAAUAUUUUGUUGGAGUCAAGCAGAAUGAAAGAUAUUGAGGAACAAUAAUGUUUUUAGGUUGAAAAGAAUUGUACACCAUAAAGGUCACACUUAUCAAAGCCACCUAUGCGAUCAAGUUUGAUAACUCAAUUAGUUAUGAAAAGAUACCGUGAAGAAUAUAUUAUUUUAUCAGUUACAAAAAAAAGAAUAUAUUAUUAUAAUUCACUUAAACUUACAAUCAUAAAACUUUGGUUUGAACGCUGGUAGAUUGCAUAUCUGGUGGACUACGAAAUACAUUCAUAAUUUAAAAUGGUAUGAUUUUGAAUAAAGAAAUACUAUAUCUUAGGAGUCAUGACACACCUUUUGGUUUGUUGCGUGAUCCGAGUGGACGUCCUCUUUUUCUUUUUAUGUGUGUUCCCUGUAGAAGUUUGGAAACAAAAAAUUUUAGGUGUUAAAAUUAUUUUAUUUUUUUUUGCAAAAGAGCUUGAUUUUUUUUUGAGGAGUUGGUUGCAUUGUUAUCCUAUCGCGAUGGAAUAGGGAAUGGAUGCUUGUGCAUGGUCGGAUUAGUAAAUAUUUUAAAGUUUUUUGUUUUGUCGAAUAAGUAUAUUUAUGAAUUUGGCUACUUAACGGGAGUUAGGGGAUUUGGGGUUUAAGUAGCAGAAUAUUGGCAUUAUGUAAUAUUGACAUGGCUAUUAAUAUUGAUGACACAUUGUAUAGCUAAAUAUGACAUAUAUAAUUAUAUUUAAUGUUAAUUUAUAAUUUUGGUUAAGGUAAUAACUCAUAUAUUACAAUUCAUGUUGAUAUUGUUUUUUUAGUAAAUUUUCAAAUUAUGAUAAUAAUUCAUACAUCAUCACUAAAAUAAAUAUAUUCGAAUAUGAUAAUCAAUUUCGAAAUAUUGUUUUGUUUUAAUAUAAUUAUACAAAUUCAUAACAAAACUUAAAAAAAAAAAUUCUAUACUUAAAUAAAUACUUAAUCGUUAAAUCUUUAGUAUUUUAUAUAUCAACAAUUUUAAAAAAUUAGUUUUAAUUUUUGAUAACUAUACAAUUAUUUAUACAAAUUUAUUUAUUAUAAGUAACCAAAAUAGAUAGAUAGAAAAAUCUAUCUAAGUCUAAGAUUUUAGAUAUAUACAUAUAUAUUCUUAAAAUAAUUUCAGAAAACAAAUCUAUUUUUAUUUUAAGUUAAGUUAAUUUAUAUUUAGUUAAUUCAAUUAUAUGUAAUUAAAACAAAUACUAAAAUAUGAUUCUUGGUAUAGCAUACAAAUAAUUCAAUGAAAAAAAUAAUCUAUGAUUUUUCAAAAAUUGAUUACUAACCUUUUUUAGUUUUAUCAGAUUUGUCGAGAGCAGCUUCACCCCAUCUAUAGUGAAAUUCUUAAUUUUGUAGUUUGUAUGUAAUUAUACUACAAUAUAUUUUAUUUUCUAUUUUAUUAGGUUAUCAAAACGAUAUAUGAGUUAUGUAUUUAAAAAAUAUUUUCAUCGAUUAUAUGGUUGUUGUGUUUUCAGGAAUUUCCAAUUUACGUUCCUUCAAGACUUUUGAUCUUAAGUUUUGCAAGGCUUUUGAAUUUUUUUAGAACAAUACGACUUAUCAUUCGAAAUUGGAAGAUGCAAUUAUUAUUAUUUACUUACGAAUUCUGUCAGCAAUUUGUUAUAAGAAGAAUUCACCAGCUAUACUCUUCAGCCAUUUGAUCCAUAUUUUAGUAAUUCGAAUGAGUUAAAAUUUUAUAAUAUCUGAGGAGACAAAAAAUUGGGUGAAAGCCAUUUGUAUUAUAAUUUUUUGUGAGGGUGGCAUUAAGUUUGGUUAUUAAAAAUAUAUGAAUUAUUUUCAAUUCCAUUACAAAAGACAUUACUCUGUACAUAUGUCAGGCUCAAUAUAAAAGAAAGAUCAUGUGGGUGGAGAUUAUUAUAUUUUUCUAUAUAAUACUAUGUACCUGCAGUUUUCAAAGGGGGUGUAGGAGGUGGGUUCUCCAUUCCUUUCAUAUCUGGACCUUAGAAGAAAACCAAUUGUCAGAUAGAGAGCCAUAUUAAGAUUUGUAUUCUUUUGGCUUGUAAAAGAAUUUCUUAUACUUGCGUAGUCUUUUGGAGUAGUGCUUUGGUUAGAGCUUGGUAGAUAGUUCCUAUGGUGAUUUCACUAUUGAUUUUGGUGAUAUGAAACAGAAAGCUAGGUUUUUCUGUAGUGUUUUUAGAAAUAGUGUCUUUCCACUUUUUCUUAUGACGAAACCUUGGAAAUUUAAUUCUCUCGGAGGAAGGUUGAAGAAGGAUGUUAAUGGUUAAGAUAUGAGAAUAUUUUUUUUUACGUUAUUGGAAGAAAAUAACAUUUACUCUCUUGGGUUUGACUUGUUCUAUAAGGCCUUAAUUUAUGCUAUUCAAUACUUCUGUUAAUUCUUUUAUUUUAGUUUUUUAAAAUAUUUGGAAAUGAGAUUAUUCUUGUGGUUAAUUGAUAGAUUCUGCUGUUUUUACGUGAAAAUCUAUAUUAUCAGUCUAGAUUGUCUUCUUACCUUCUCUGCAUGAUCUCAUGAGCAAGUUCUUUCGCACCAUUGACUGGUAUUAUUCCAUUUUCACAAAGAUUAUGUAAAACCCCAUUUUCACAAAGACUGGUAUUAUUCCAUUACAUGUCUUCUACACCAAGACUUAGCCUUUACUUCUGUUACCGUUACUCCUCUUCUCAGCCACUAUCUACGCCGCUCCUUUCCCUCUCCCCAACCCCAUCUCCAACCAUCUCCCCCGUCCCACGCACCUCCCCCACUCCCCCUCGCACAUCCUCCACCUCCCCACUCGACCCAAAGCAGCUCACAGCCUUCGAAUCCCUCAACAUCCCCACCCUCAAGAACCCCUGCGACCACCACCACCCCUCCUCCUCCAAAAAACCCCCCACCACCGUCGUAACCUGCGACACCGGCUCCCCAUUCCGCCUCGUCACCUCCCUCUCCUUCACAAACUGCUCCUCCGAUCUCUCCAUCUCCUCCACAGCCCUCAAAGCCCUUUCCCCCUCCCUCACCUCCCUCUCUUUCCACAACUGCCCUUCCCUCUCCGCUCCCCCUCACCUCCCGGACUCGCUCCACUCCUUCUCCGCCGUCUCCUCCUUCCCCCGCCUCUCGGGACUCUCCCUCGCUCGCCUCGUCAACCUCACCGACAUCACUGUCUCCUCCGUCCCUGUCUCCACCUCGGGGCUAUUCGUCAUCCUCGGGAACAUGCACGACAUCGUCUCCCUCACCAUCUCCCACGCCAAUCUCUCCGGGAACAUCCCAAAAUCCUUCCACUCGAAUCUCACAUUCAUCGACUUAUCGGAUAAUCUCAUCAAAGGACCAAUACCCACUUCGAUUACUCUCCUCUCCAGCCUCAAAGCUUUAAACUUGUCGUCGAACUUGAUCUCCGGCGAGAUACCCGACAGCAUCGGGAGUCGAAAAUUGAAUGUGUGAAAGUGAAUCGAUGAGAACUCAGCCGAGAAGGUUUCAAGCCGAGAAGACGAAGUGGGGAGGAGAAGAGACGGCGUGGAUCCAUAGUAGGGUUGGAAGCUCUUUUUGAAUUGGGCUAAUUGCUUUUUAUUCGAACUGGGCUAAUAACACUCUCUUGACCCACUGUCGUUGGACAUUUUUCACUUAAUAUAGGUACAUUAGAAACAAAAGCCCAAAAUUUUAAUUGAAAUGUUCUGAUUGGCUAAAUUUAAUAAGUGACGUGGACAGCUUUAGAAGGCUUUAUUAGUUCCUUUUAGUAUAGUAUAGAUAUUUUUUAUUGUUAAAGGAUUUUCAUUGAAUUUAAAUAAUAUACUAUUUGUUUUGUUCAAUUAUUUUUAAAACAUAAGUUUUGGCAUCUCAAUGAUUUCUUGAUCAUAAAGUCGUAUUUAUAUUUAUUUUAUGAAACUCUUAAAUCUUAAUAUAUAUAUAUAUAGUGUGUGUGUAUCCCCGUAAUCUAAGUGUGAUUUUGCAGAAGAAACAUAGGAAGUGAUGUAUACUGGGGUUUAGCAUAACAAAAGCCAAAGAACCAUGCAGUUGUCAUGUAAAAAAAAACUCACUUUUCUAGAGAUUGAUUUGUUUUUUGUAUGUGUGUGAUUUUGGUUGUCGUGACUUGCAUGCCUUUGAAAAGUUUUUUUUUGUGUGGCAGAGACAAUAUCCACUUUAGAACACAUGAUCUUGAUGACUAGGUUUUGUUCUCUUUUCUUUGGACAUCAGACACCCAACUUAUUAAGACAUCAUCAUAUCUAUUUAGAUUCUCCUUGGAUAUAAAAUAUGAAUGGAUAGCAUAUUGUUUAUUUUUGUUUAAUCUAAGUAUAUGUAGUAUAUGGUUUUUUAUCAUUGCUUACCUAGUAGGGAUGGAUAAUUAUCUGUAGAUCCGUUUUGAAUUAGUAUUCGAUUUAUUCCAAAAGUUUGAUUUCGUAAGUGCCUUUAAUCGUGAACUUGUAAGGUCUACGCAGAACAAGAACAUAUUAAAAACAAGCUUAACCACAUUGAAACAAAAUCAAAAUAAAAAUCGAGUUGAAGUACUAAGGGAUGUCCAUGCAUAAUUUCUUGAAAGAUUUCCCGGACAAUCGGCCACUUUCACGAAAAGAAGGCCAAAAUAUGUAGUGAUAUAAAUGUACACUGAUUGUUUCUUCUUGAAAUUGAACAGAACAAAAAAUAUCAUAUUAAUGGCAGUCUUAAACUUAGUAAUAGUGGCUCGAACUAAACCGCUGACCCAUAAAUUCUAUAAAUUUACGAAUAAUUAACUGAUAAAUAAGAAAUUAUUUCCAAAGAGAAUUACUCGACAGAGUGCGAUAGACAUGUUUGGUUUAAAUUAGGGCCCUAAGGGACAGAACUAUAAAAAGUUAGGUAAUGUGCAAAGAGUGUAAAGCAAUUUGGAAUUGAUGGUCAAAAUUAGUAAAGGCAUGGGCCAAACUAAUACAUAAAUGGAGAGACAUUGCAUUACAUAAAUCUACAUUUAUGAAUUGUUAUGGUUUUAUUCUCUAUCUCAACUUUAUUUCUUUCGUUUUAUAAUAAUGUUUUUCUUUUUCUUUUGGGUCACCAUGAGAAUGUUUUAUGUUUGGAUUUAUGAAAUGUACUAUGAUAAAAAAGCAUAUUUACAAAAAUCUACAUGUGAAGAAUGAAUGCAUGUGUGAUCAAAAAUGUUUUUUUGGGACACGCUGCACACAUAUGUAUUUUGUUCAUCUUCGUGUAAAAGUAUUAGUCUUUAUCUUGGCUCAUGAAUCCAGAAAAACCUAGAUUUUUGACUUUUACUCCGAAUUAACCAAAAAACGAUCCAAACCAAAAUCGAACUGGAACCGAACCAGAAUCAAAUAGGAUCCGGAAUUAUUUUGGAUAUUAAUCAGUUCCUAAUUUUGUUAUCCAGACCAAACUGAUAACUGAACCGAAUUUUCUAAAUACUAAAACGAAUAUCCCACAAAUGUAUCUUAUGAUAUCAUAAUGAAUUUUCAAUGUUGAAAAAAAUACUAAGUUAAAAGAGUACUAUCAUCCAAAUAUUCUAUUCAUUACAAUGGUUAUGAAAGGAUUGGUGGGUGCCCAAUUGAAAUCCAUAUUCUAUUGAUUACAAUGGGCCACAAAUUGCUAUGAAACGUCAUCAUGAAUUAAAAUUCUGGUUAAACCAACCAAUUUUCUUACUCAAGCCCAAAGUUUUCAAUUAAAUGAGCCUAAGAAGCCCAAAACAUUUGCUUGAUAUCCGUCAAAAAAAUGAAAGAACUCAAAACGACGUCAGAUAAGAUCAGAAGAAGAUGGGUAAGAGAAAAAUCUAAUACUUGAAUCCUAUUGGUUACCUUAUCCACUCAAUCGAACCAACUCUAGCCUCUCAUUACAGAACAUUAUCCUGUUUCUCAUUAAAUACAUUUGUAAGAGCAAUUAGCUCGUUACAGAGAAAAAACAAACAAACACAAAAAAAAAAACAUGGCAGCUCAAGCCUCGGGUCUCUUUAGCUCCGCCGUGACAACCGCCGCUACCUCCGGCGUAAAAAAGCUCCACCUUUUCACGACAUCCCACCGUCCAAGAUCCCUCUCCUUCCCCAAAACCGCAAUCCGCGCCGAGAAAGCAGACUCCGCCGCCGCCGCCCCCGCCGCCGCCGUGAAAGAAGAAGCUCCGGUGGGAUUCACGCCGCCGCAGCUAGACCCGAACACGCCGUCUCCGAUCUUCGCGGGAAGCACGGGCGGUCUUCUCCGCAAGGCCCAGGUGGAG
This 66802-nucleotide long non-coding RNA is filed under the name Brassica rapa (field mustard). RNAcentral's name for it is "long non-coding RNA (BRAP_LNC006230)". The record is from RNAcentral. Lineage: Eukaryota; Viridiplantae; Streptophyta; Magnoliopsida; Brassicales; Brassicaceae.